This 62095-nucleotide long non-coding RNA is filed under the name Gossypium barbadense (sea-island cotton). Its description in RNAcentral is "long non-coding RNA (GBAR_LNC010925)". The record is from RNAcentral. Lineage: Eukaryota; Viridiplantae; Streptophyta; Magnoliopsida; Malvales; Malvaceae.
AUUGUCCAAAUAAAAUAAAAUACAACAAACCCAAAAUUCAAUCCCAACUACCCAAACCUUAAGCCCAAAAUAAUCAGCCCACAAACUUAAAAUUUUAGCAGCAAACCCUAGCUGGCCGCCGCAUGCCUUACGUGGCCUCCUCAGCCUUGGCCACCACGCCCCACGCGUCUGACACUCCCACCUGCUCCACCAUGCCCACCACCUGCAACAAGAACAAACACAACAGCAAAGAAAGCAUGCGAAUGAUGGGGGGAGUAAUAAACAAAAGGAACGAAAAAAAUUAUAUUGGCUUUAAAAGCCGAAAUCUAUCAUUUGUAAAGGGGGGAUUUUUAUGUGUUUUUUUGGAGAUUUCAAAAGGGAAGAAUCGGUUGUAUUUUGGGGGGGUUUCUCUUUUUUUUCGGCAUUUUAAUACAAAAAGCAGAGAAAAAUACAAAAAAAGGGGAAACAAGGAACGAAAACAUAAAUCGGAAGGUGAUUUUGUUUUUUAUUUUUCUCUAUUAUCUUCUUAAAUCCAUUUUUUUCUUUUCUUCCUCAUUUCUAGCAUAUAUAUACACAUAUAAUCGAAAAAUAAAAAAAAACAAAAAAAUAAAUUUUUUACCUUUUCCGGCCACCGCGUGCGGUGGCCGGCGCCGACGCCGGCGAGCCUCCGGUGGCCGUCCGGUGACCGGCCCCCCUGGCCGGAUUCCCCUUCCCCCCUCCCUUCUCUCUCCCUUCUCUCUUCCCUCUCUCUCUUUUUUUUUUCUUUCCCUCUCCCCAAAUGAUUUUUUUUGGUUAGUUUAAGCCUUAUAUAGCCCUCCAAAACGACGUCGUUUUGGGGGCUACACUUAAGCCCCAAAACGACGUCGUUUUGACCAUGCCCGACCCAUCCGACCCGACCCGCUAGAGGAUCCGCGUGUUUUCAUUUGAAUGGGAUAUUUAUGCGCGCAGUCCUUCCGAUUUUCUGAUGCUUCACAAUUAAGUUUUUUAUGGUUUUCAAUUUGGCCCUAUAAUUUCUUGCGCUUUUCGAUUUAGUCCCCGCCAAUGUGCUGCGUUUUAAUGGAAAGGAAUAAUUGUUUUUUCGGUCCCCCAACGUUUCACGCGCGUACAAUUAAGUCCCUUUUCUUUGUUUUCAUUUCAAAUUGGCCCCACAACUUUGUUUUUAAUUCAAUUUUAGUCCUUUUUUGUUGAUUUUUAUAUCUUUAUUAAAUAUCCUUGUUAUUUUUAUAUUAUUAGUAUUAUUAGUAUUACCAUUAUUAUUAUUAUGUAUUAGUAUAUAUUUUUAUUAUGUACGUGUAUACCUAUAUAUAUAUUCUCAUAUUUAAUAUUUUUAUUUCACUUUAUUUUAAUAUUUUAUUAAUGUUAUGUUUGUUUCUUUUAUAUUCCAAUGUUAUCAUUAUUAUUAUUCUUAUUAUUUUUAUUAGUUUAUGCUUUGUUAUAUAUUUAUAUAUUUAUAAUACGUAUAUAUACUUGAUAUAUUUGUAUAUACCUCGGUAAUAUUAUUACUAGUUUUCAAUAUACGCAUAUAUUACCUAAAUAUUUUAGUAUUAUGUAAAUAUUUUAACAUUAUAUUAUAUAUGUAUUUAUAUAUUACGUAUGUACAUAUACCUUUUAAUAUUAUAUUUUGUAUUACGUAAAUAUUAUUUUAAAUACUGUAUUGUAUAUAUAUAUAUCCUUAGUACCACGUUACAUAUAUAUUGUGUAUAUACUUGUUUUCUUACCCUUAUUAUAUUCAUUGUUAAUACAUUUAUUUUUUUUAUACAUGUAUACGUACCCUUUUUAUAAUAUUAUUUUUUACACAUAUAUAUAUAUUUAUCUAUGUUUUCAUAUUCUAUAAUUUAUAUGCAUUUCUUAUUUUAUGGCUUAAAAUUAUACAUGCAUAUACAUUUUUACAUAAUUGUAUUUAUUGUCAUCAUUGUUAUUUGGCGUUUGUUUAUUUAUUCAUGUACACUUGUGCUUUUUCUAAAAGGUUAGUUCUAUUUAUUUAUUUGUAUGCUUUGUUUAUGUAAUCGCCUCGUCAUUUCAUUUUGCCUAUUGUAUUGUUGUUACUCACUUUACUUUGCUCACCUCGUCGUAUUCGUUGUUGUUUUGUCAAGCAUUGACACUAAACAUCAAAAGGAAAAUUUUUCUAAAUGAGGCAAUAUUUCGCGUUUGGAAAAUCGAGAAAACGUGCCCUAACGUGCUGGGUUUCGAUUCCUCGUUCGACUAAAUAGCCAAAUAUCCUCUUAAAGCUUCAAAGUAUGGUUUCAUUAAACUAUAAGGUGAUCUUGGUUUCGAUGGUUUAGAGUAUCGUGUCCUAACGUGCUGGAUGUGAUAUUCCUUCGGAACAAGAGAAUCUUAUAUUUCAAUUCACGUUAUCAGAGUUUCUUUUAAGGAUCGCAUUUUUAAAACUCUUCAAAUUGUCAAUUUUCGACACUAAGACACUGAUUAAUCAACUAGGUACCAAUUUUGGGCGUAUCGAGGGUGCUAAUCCUUCCUCGUGCGUAACCGACUCCUGAACCCGUUUUUCUUUUUUGAAUUUCAUAGACCAGAAUCUUUGUUUUAAUAAAAAUUAAGUCGUUUAUUAAAAACAACCACUUUUCGAGGUGACCCGAUCACACCUUAUCAAAAAAGAUUGGUGGCGACUUCCGUUUUCAUUCUAUUUUCAAAAUCCAAGUCGACCCUGUUUUCAUCCAAAAAAUGGUGUCAACAGAUCCAAGACAUUUGGCGCACCUCCUUUUGAGUUGCGAAAACAUUUCUAAGUUGAGCUUAGAUGUGGAGAUAACAAGGUUACCAGAGUACCACUACUUGUCUUCAAAUCUCGCUUACAUAAAGUUGAGAAGAUGUGAGCUUGAGGAAGAUCCAAUGUCAACACUUGAGAAGCUUCCUAACUUAAGGAUUCUUGAAUUCCGUUACAGAGCUAUCAUAGGUAAGGAAAUGUUUUGCUGUGGACAAGCUUUUGCGAAACUUGAGUCUCUAAGCCUCAAGUAUCUUCCCAAUUUGGAGGAGUGGAAGGUGGAUGAAAGGGCGCUGCCUUCUCUUCGGCGAUUGGAGAUAGAAAACUGCAGAGAACUAAAAAAGCUUCCAGAUGGACUGAGGUUCAUUGCAACCCUCCAAGAACUAAAGAUAGAAUCAAUGCCAAAGACAUUCAAAGAUAGAGUCGAGGAAGGGGGAGAAGAUUUCUGGAAAGUCCAGCACGUUCCUUCUAUCAUAUUCCAAGACUGCAAGUGAUAGUAAUUAUCAUUAAUGCGAGGUAAUUCAUUAUUUUUUUAGGAAAUACUUAACCCUUUUGUUUAUAUAUAAAAAUCCACAACUAUUUUGUAUGUUUAGAUUCUUUCUCAAGCAGCUAAUAAUUUAGAGAAGAUUUUAGUUUCGGUUCUUAUCCUCUGUUUUUAACAAUGUUUCAUAUUUCCAGAGUAUUUGUCAUUUAAACCAAAAGUGAAAGAAUAUAUUGUCAAUAGGAUGUUAAGCACGUUGGUGAUGGUCAGCAGAUGCAAUUUGAAAUACUGACAUUGUCUCAUAUUUGAAGGUGUUCUCCAACAUGAUUCAUAGCUGUUACAUUUUAAUUAGCAUAAAGAUUCUUCUAUCAUAUGAUGUAUAUGUCACGGAAUUUCAACUGCUUUCAUAUGAUAUUACCAUUUUUAAUUCCUCUUCAAGUACAGAAGCCAUUGCCCUUUUUUUGUUUUUGUUUUUGCUGCUGCUCUUCAUGGGACCAUAUAAAUAUACAUAUUUAAAAAUUGUUCUUUUUACAUGACAUUGUUUUUUUUCUUAUAAUUUUUUAAUUUGUAAAGUUUGAAAUUAUGAAUUUUUUUAGGUAAUUUCUAUUAUACUGAACAUCCCUCGCUCUGCUUAAAAAAAUUAAAAUUUUAAUAUGAUAUUAAUAUUAAUGUGUGAUGCAAUAAUUGAAUUUUUAAGUAAAUAAAUUUAAAGGUAAAAUUGUAUCACUAUAACAAUAAUUAAAAAAUAAAAUGAUUUGGGACAUUUCCAAAAUAAUAAUAAUAAUAAUAAUAAUAAUAAUAAUAAUAAUAAUCAUCAAAAGACGUGACAUCACAAAAAAAUAACAAGUAAAUGACAAAAAUAGCCACAAGUGUUCUAAUUUAUAUAAAAUGAAAUAUAAACAACUACGGAAAAUAUCAUUAACACGACAUGUAUAAAACAAUGUACCAAACUAUAUAUAAAAUGAUUUACUAAUGUUAAUAAAUUUAUAUUACUAACAUGAAAAUAAACACGAAGAGAAAAUGAAAUAAUUAAAAUACAUUAUAUCAAGGUAAAAAAACAUAUGGUUUUCAUAAAAAUAUAUAAAUGUGUGUCUGAAUUAGUAUUAUGAAUCAAUUCGAUAUUAAUUUAGUUAAUAAAAUUAUGAAAAUAAUCUUACAUAUUUUAAAUAAGUUAAGAUUUAUGCAUCUUUGGUACAUGUACUUUCAUAAAAUGUUCAAUUUGGUACUUAUACUUUAAAAAUGUUUAAUGUGGUACUUGAACUAUCAAUAUGUAUUUUAUUAUUGUAAUUGAUGUUAACAACAUUAGUGGAUUACUAAAUCAGCAAAUAAAAAUUCGACACGUAAAAUUAUUUUCAAAUCCAUACGAAUAAUAUAACAUUAUGUGAAAGGCUAAAUUAAAAAUUCAAUUAAACUAAAACCAGAUAACUAAAGAUAUGAUUAAUAAAAAAAAUAAGCACUAAGCUUGCAGAAAUUAGUUUAGUUAGUUGUUGAGUGGUUAAGGAUUAGUUACUUAGUUGGGUAGUUAGCUGGGUAGUAUAAAUUGACACAUAAUUAAUUCAAUGAUAUAAGAUUUUGAUGUAUUCUUUGCAUUUGUAGUAUCAUUUUAACAUGGCAUUAGUCCUUGGUCUUGAUUUUCAUCUCCUUCUCCAUGGCUAAUUUCUUCAAUCUUGCAUUUUUUUUUCACUGUGGGCUGCUAUUCAUAUAAGGCCUGAUAGCUUUUCAUUAGACCAUUUAAUUUUCCUCUUGGUUUUUCUUGAAGUUGGUAAAUAAGUUGUUAUAACAGCUCCUAGUAUUUAGGGAUUAGUUCCUUGUAAUUAAGUAUUAAGUAUGCUAGUUAGUUACUCCCUACCCGUUAUAUUACAAUCAAGCUGUAAUAGCAAGAAUAACAAACUUGAAGCAUUUUAUUUUCUCUUAUCUUUUCAAUCGAUAUCUUAACAUGGUAUCAAGAGCUAGGUUCAAUUUUUUCUUGGUUCCAAGGUUUUUUUUCUUCGUAAUCUUCUUCAAUGGUAAUCCAACAAUCUUCUUCUCUUGUCAUUGGCUUUCAUCACCCUCUUUAACUUUACCCCUCUGAUACUCCUAGCACUCUACUGGUCUCUCAUCAACUUCUUAGCGUUGAGAAUUAUAAUAUAUAGAGUCGAUCAAUGAAAAUUGCUCUUCUUGCCAAAAACAAACUUGGAUUUGUUGAUGGCACUUGUUCACGGGCUGAUCUUCUAGUUGAUCUUCAUCCUCAAUGAGACUGUUGCAAUGCUAUUGUCCUCUCUUAGAUCCUCAACACUAGUUGCCAAAAACUUUCAGCUGGUAUUGUUUUCGCUUCGAGUGCCUGCCUUGUUUGGAAGGAUAUUCAAGAACGCUACAGCAAAGUUGAUGGGCCAGAAUCUAUUAUCUCUAUCAGAUUAUUUCUUCUCACACUCAAAAUACUUCUUCCAUCUCCACGUAUUUCACACAACUCCGCCUUUUAUGGGAUGAGUAAAGUCCAAAGAAUCCUACAAGAAAAUAGCAAAUAUUCUUCCCAUAAAAUUACUGCUUCCAAGUUGCAAAUAUAUUUUAAUGUGGGAGAACUCAUAAUAACGAUUAUUGUUUUUGUAUUUCUGUUUAUUUUUGUUAAAUUUUGUGUUGUCAAAAUGCUACAUUUUGAACAUUGGUUUUUAAUGAAAACGGUUAUUAUAAGAGAGGGUAGUUAGAUUAGUGUUAAAACGAGAAGUUGAGAGGGAAUAGAUGUACUGUUGAAAAGUCAAUUAAAAGGGGUGUUGAAAUGUCAAAAAUGCGAGGUGCAAUUGGCACCGAAAGAAAAAGUGGUAGGCAACUUGUUUAAAGCUGAAUGGGAUAAUUGCAAUUUUGGUCCCUAAUUUUUUAGGCCAUUUGCAAGUUGGUCCCUGAACCUCAACUAUAAAUAGGCCUAACCAUUUCUCAUUUCAACCAUCCCAACCAAUCUUUCUCUCUUAGUUUUCUCUCUUCUCCCAUUUGAGAAUUCUUAAGGAAUUCUAUUUGUUUGUAAUAUUUUGGAGAUAAUAAAGUUAUCAUCUGGUGUUAGUGCCCGAUGACGUAGGUAUAUUUACCGAACCUCGUUAAAACUCUUGUGUUUUUUCUUGUCCUAUUUUUCUUUCAAUAUUUGAGGGUAUAAUAGUAGUAUUUAAUUGUACUAUUAAAUUACAAUAGAAGAGAUAUUCUGACUAAGGAAAGACUUGGUACUUAAGAUAUCCUUGUGAUCCACCUCUCUUUCUUGGGAAUUGAACUUUGUGUGAUUUUUUAGUACAGUAAUUUACACACUUCCGACCCUAUUGGAACAACAAGUGGUAUCAAGAGCCGAAGGUUAAUCGUAGUAUGCUCUUUGGUUGCAGUUUAAACUGAUCUUCCACAUCAGAAAAGAUUUCCUUAGGUAUAUUGAAAGAUUAUGGAGAAAACGGUCGGUGUAGGAGCUUCAACAUCGUCCAUGUGGACAAGACCAACAAUUGCAAAUGCAAUAUUGGCCGUGGAGAUCUUUGAUGGCACGGGCCAUUUUGGUAUGUGGCAAAGUGAGGUUCUAGAUGCCCUUUUUCAGCAGGGUCUAGACAUUGCCAUUGAUGAAGAGAAACCAGAUGAUGUACAGGAGAAAGAUUGGAAGGCGAUCAAUCGGUUGGCAUGUGGCACAAUUCGAUCAUGCCUUUCUCGAGAGCAGAGGUAUGCUUUUUCAAAUGAGACUUCUGCAAAUAAGUUGUGGGUGGCACUUGAAGAAAAAUUAUUGAAGAAAAACAGUCAAAAUAAGCUCCACUUGAAGAAAAGACUGUUUCGCUUCACUUACGUCCCAAGUACCAAAAUGAAUGAUCACAUCACCAAAUUUAAUCAGUUAGUCACUGAUUUGCUAAAUAUGGAUGAGACAUUCAAAGAUGAAGAUUUGGCUUUGAUGCUGUUGGGGUCACUUCCUGAGGAGUUUGAGUUCCUAGAAACUACUCUACUUCAUGGCAGGAGUGAUAUAUCUUUGAGCGAAGUCUGUGCGGCCUUAUACAGUUAUGAACAGAGAAAGAAGGACAAACAGAAAAACUCAAUCAGAGAUACAGAAGCUUUAGUAGUCCGAGGUCAUUCGUACACUCGGAAGAAAACUCAGAAGGGGAGAUCAAAGUCAAAGUCCAGACUUGGGAAAGAUGAAUGUGCCUUUUGUCAUGAGAAAGGCCAUUGGAAGAAAAAUUGUCCAAAGCUGAAGAAUAAGGGAAAAGUUGUUGUAGAUGCUUGUGUUGCAAAGCAUGAUACUAGUGACUCUGAACUAUCACUGGUUGCAUCAUCAUCGUCGUUCCAUUCAGAUGAGUGGAUUUUGGAUUCGGGUUGUACCUAUCAUAUGUCCCCAACCGGGAGUGGUUCUCUGAUUUAGUAGAACUAAAUGGAGGAGUUGUUUAUAUGGGAAAUGAUAAUGCCUGUAAAACUGUUGAGAUAGGUUCAAUCCAAUUAAAGAAUCAAGAUGGAUCAACUAGAGUUCUGACUGAUGUUCGGUACGUGCCCAAUUUGAAGAAAAAUCUCAUCUCAUUGGGAGCCUUGGAAUCCAAUGGUUCAGUUGUUACUAUGAGAGAUGGGGUUUUGAAAGUGACAUCUGGCGCACUUGUGAUAUUGAAGGGCAUCAGGAAAAAUAACUUGUAUUACUAUCAAGGUAGUACAGUUAUUGGAGCAGUCGCUGCAGCUUCCGGUAACAAAAACUUGGACUCAAUGCAGUUGUGGCAUAUGAAGUUGGGACAUGCCAGCGAAAAAUCCUUGCAAAUUCUGGCAAAGCAAGGAUUGUUGAAAGGUGCAAAGGCUUGCAAAUUAAAAUUUUGCGAGCAUUGUAUUCUGGGAAAGCAAAAGAGAGUGAAAUUCGGCACUACUAUCCAUAAUACAAAAGGUAUUUUGGAAUAUAUUCACUCAGAUGUGUGGGGGCCUUCCAAAACACCUUCGUUGGGAGGAAAACACUACUUUGUUACUUUUGUUGAUGACUUUUCCAGAAGAGUUUGGGUGUAUACCAUGAAAACUAAGGAUGAAGUGCUUGAAGUUUUUCUUAAAUGGAAAACUAUGAUCGAAAACCAGACUGGCAAGAAAAUCAAGCGACUUAGGACGGACAAUGGAGGGGAAUAUAAAAGUGAUCCGUUCUUCGAUGUGUGCCAAGAGUAUGGUAUUGUUCGACACUUCACAGUUAGGGAUACACCACAGCAGAAUGGAGUGACAGAGCGCAUGAAUCGAACAUUGCUGGAGAAAGUUCGAUGUAUGUUGUCCAAUGCUGGGUUGGGCAAGCAAUUUUGGGCUGAGGCUGUGACAUACGCUGGCCAUCUUGUUAAUCGUUUGCCAUCAUCUGCAUUAGAAAGAAAAACUCCUAUGGAGGUAUGGUCUGGAAAACCGGCUACAGAUUAUGAUUCCUUACAUGUGUUUGGAUCCACUGCAUAUUACCAUGUGAAUGAGUCAAAGUUAGAUCCGAGGGCAAAGAAAGCUCUCUUUAUGGGAAUCACUUCUGGAGUGAAGGGAUUUCGUCUUUGGUGCUUAAGCACAAAGAAAAUGAUCUGUAGCAGGGAUCUCCACGUAUUUCACACAACUUCGCCUUUUAUGGGAUGAGUAAAGUCCAAAGAAUCCUACAAGAAAAUAGCAAAUAUUCUUCCCAUAAAAUUACUGCUUCCAAGUUGCAAAUAUAUUUUAAUGUGGGAGAACUCAUAAUAACGAUUAUUGUUUUUGUAUUUCUGUUUAUUUUUGUUAAAUUUUGUGUUGUCAAAAUGCUACAUUUUGAACAUUGGUUUUUAAUGAAAACGGUUAUUGUAAGAGAGGGUAGUUAGAUUAGUGUCAAAACGAGAAGUUGAGAGGGAAUAGAUGUACUAGUGAUACGGUGCAUUUUUGAGUCAUUUCUUUUUUGCCAGUCUAUCAAAAUUUGUCCAUUAUUCACCUUUUAUGGACGUAUCAGCAUCGAGGGUGAGACAAUUAUGGAAAUACACAUGAAUUUUCUACUCUUCUUUCUCUAAUAUCUCAUCUUUUUCUCCGAUUGCUUCUUCUUUCCUUAAUUAUUUAUGUUCCAAUUUUCUUCCUUCAUCAAAGGUAUCAAAGCCUACACGUUCCUCAUGGCCAACGACAUUAUCACUACACAUAUUCAAAAGGAAAUGGGUUUGCUGCAGCAGGAGCUUUCUCAACUUGAUAACAAACUAGAUUCCAAGUUUGAUGCUCGUUUUAAAGAUUUUCGUGAAAAUUUAAGGGCAAAAUCUGAGGGGAAAUCAUAUCUGAGUUACACUUUUUCUUUAACCAGUACCUUGGGUAGCCUACUACUGGUGUUUAGAGAUUGAGUCAAGUGUUGUUCCAAUAGGGUCGAAAGCGUGUAAAUUAUUGUACUAAAAAAUCACACAAAGUUCAAUUCCUAGGGAAGAGAGGUGGAUCACAAGGAUCUCUCAAGUACCAAGUCUUUCCUUAGUCAGAAUAUCCAUUCUAUCGUAAUUUAAUAGUACAAUUAAAUACUACUAUUAUACCCUCAAAUAUUGAAAGAAAAAUAGGACAAGAAAAAAUAUAAGAGUUUUAACGAGGUUCGGUAAAUUAUACCUACGUCCUCGGGCACUAACACCAGAUGAUAACUUUAUUAUCUCCAAAAUAUUACAAACAAAUAGAAUUCCUUAAGAAUUCUCAAAUGGGAGAAGAGAGAAAACUAAGAGAGAAAGAUUGGUUGGGAUGGUUGAAAUGAAAAAUGAAAAGGCCUAUUUAUAGUUGAAGUUCAGGGACUAACUUGCAAAUGGCCUAAAAAAUUAGGGACCAAAAUUGCAAUUAUCCCAUUCAACUUUUCAACAUUCGGUGCAACUUGCUUCACCUUUUUAACAAGUUGCUUCCUACCUUUGUUGACUUUUCAACAUCAAGAUCAUGGCAAGGGAUUGUUGGGUACACCUCUACCACGAUUUCCAUCCAAGGGCACAUUGGUUGUCUCCAACGGUCGAUGGGGGUCAUUUGGUCACUUCUUCAUGCAUUAGUCCAAUUGAUUCUGUAGGAAGACUAUUUUAGUUGCAAUGUCCGCGGUCUAAUGGCACGAAUUUUCACAGUUGGUGGGCUAAGCUCGAACAAUUUUUCAAGGCUAAGUAGGUUGGAGAUCAACCUAUGGUUCGACUGGUCAUGUUGAAUCUUGAUGGUCGAGCACUUGAAUGGCAUUACUUUUGUGCACAACGUCACGGGGGUCUUCAUCCCCUCACUUGGGAAGGGUAUGCUCAGGUUUUUCAUAGGUAUAAACGUAACAUAUUUUAAUCUCAUUCUUAAUACAUUUUGGAUGAUUAAUUAUGCAAAUUAGUGAAUUUGGCUUCUAAGCAUUCUAAAGUCUAUAAAUAUCAAUUAGAAGUAGAGAGAAUGGAGCCAUCAAAGAAGAUUGAAUAAAACACUCAAAGAAAGCCAUCGAAGACGACUUGAAAGCAGAUUUCGAUCAAGAUCGAAGACCUCUUUUUAAUUUUUUUUUGAAGUUUUUAUGAGUUUCUUUGUUUCUUGUGGUUUUUUUUUAACUUUGAGAUGUUUUCAUUUAGGAUUAUGAACUAAUUCCCUAGAUACUUAGGGAUGAUGAAACCUAUGAUGAAUCCUUUUACUUAAUUUCUGUUUUACCCAAUAAAUACUUUAUUCUUAUUCUCAAUUAUGUAUGCUUAUUUCUUAUUUUAAUAUUUCUGAGAUAUUAAUUCAUGUUUAAUGUGCUUAAUCUAGUGGAGCAAAAGUCUCUGUUUAAGAGUAGAUCUAGCAUGACUGAGUGGAGUUUCAUGCAAUUCUAGAAAUAGGACAACAUAAAUCUACCGGAUUAGAGUCAAAUCUAAUAAGAAAAAUCCAUAGAUCGAUUUAAUGCAAUGAUAGGGUUUUAAUUAGAAAGAGAUUUCAAUUAAUCAACCUAGAGUCAGUUAUUCUUACUAUCGAAAGAGAUAUUAACAUAAUCUAGAGAUUUCUACAUAUCAAGACACAAGUGAAUAAAUCGUUUAAUUUAGAUUCAUAAUAAUAUGUGAAGUCUAGGUGGAUUCUUUCCUGGGUAUUGUUUCUCUCAUUGGUUAAUAUUCGUUCAUUUCCUUGAUUCGUUCUCUGUUACGUUCUUAGUAAAUUAGUUUAGAAAAUUUAGAUUAAAACAUAUCACUCCAAAUUAUCGGCUAAAUAAUAAGAAGAUGGUAAUUACUAAUACUUUUAGUACUCGUGGGUACGAUAUCUUUACUCACUGUAGCUAUACAAUAGUUCAAUAGGUGUGCUUGCCUUUGUCGUAUUUAUAGUUAAUUUUGUGAUCAUCAAGUUUUUGACGUCGUUGUCGAGGACCAAAAUAUUAGAAACAUUUUAUUUUAUUUUAUAUAUUUUUUAGUUAAUUUUUACAUUCUAAUUUUUAUUUUGUUUGCUUCUGGUAGGUUCCUUUAGUUUAUGACUAGAAGAAACCCAUCGGGACCAUUAAUUUACGACAGUGAGAUUGAAAUUACUGCUCAUAAAAACCGUAGAGAAGCAAGUCAGAGUCGACAGAAUCUAGUAGACGAACAAGAAGAUAUUACUAUUACUGAGAAGAUGGGUGAUAAUUAGAAUAUUCAACUACCUCUUACAGCUGCAACUCCUGUUCCUCGUACUAUGUACGAUUAUGCCAAGCCCACUCUGUCUGGGGUUGAAUCGAGUAUUGUGAGACCCACCAUUGCUACAAAUAAUUUCAAACUGAAGCCAAAUAGAAUUCAGAUGGUACAACAGUUUGUUCAGUUCGAUGGUUUGUAAGACAAAGAUCCAAAUACUCAUUUGGCAAAUUUUUUAGAAAUUUGUGAUACUUUCAAAAUUAAUGGUGCCACUAAUUAUGCCAUUCGCUUACGAUUAUUCCCUUUCUCAUUCAUUAACAAGGCAAAGUAGUGGUUGAACUCUUUACCAUGAGGUUCCAUCACUACAUGGGUACAAAUGACCGAGAAAUUCUUUUUGAAGUACUUCCCACCGGCUAAGACAACCAGACUGAGUAAUGAUAUCUUUUCCUUUGUUCAAAUCGACUUAGAGACUCCAUAUGAUGCAUGAGAGAGGCAUAAGGACUUAUUGAGAAGGUGCCCUCACCAUAGGUUACCUCUAUGGCUACAAGUUCAAACCUUCUACAAUGGGUUUGAAUCCCUCAACUAGGCAAUUAAUCAACGUGGCAGCUAGUGGAACCUUAAAUAAUAAAAUACCCGUAGCAGCUUAUGAAUUUAGUGAAGAGAUGACACUAAAUAAUUAUUAAUGGCAAGUCAAGAGGACAAAACUAAAGAAAGUAGCCUAUGUCUUUAAUUUAGAUGUAGUCACCAUGUUAUCGAAUCAUAUAGAACAAUUAAAUAAUGAAAUUGAUGGUUUAUAUCUUUCUAUGCAGGUACAUCCGAUGAAGCAAUGCAACACAAAUAGAGGUGGAAUUAAUAACCAAAAAUGUUUACCCUUCGGUCCUAGCACAGAAAAUGAGCAAGUUAAUUAUGUGGGUAAUAAUUUUACGCCUCAAAGUAACCAUUAUAAUAGUAACUAUAAUACAGGUUGGAGGAACCAUAUUAAUUUCUCUUGGAGUGGUCAAGGGAAUUAGAGAGCAUAACCGCCUUUAGGCUUCCAACAACCAUCUUAUCAACAAGAGAAUAAGUCAAACCUUGAGAAAAUGUUGACAAAGUUUAUCUCAGUGUCAGAAACUCGUUUCCAACACACUGAUGCAACACUAAAACAUCGACAAGCAUCGAUUCAAGGGCUUGAGAAUCAAAUAAGUCAGCUUACUAAGUUAAUUUCAAAAAAACCACAAGGUAGUUUGCCUAGCAAUACUAAAACUAACCCAAGGGAGUAGCUUCAUGUGAUUACUAUUUGAGAUGAAAAAGGGUUAGUUGAAUUUGAAAAAAAUCAAGGCAAGAGAUUAUGGUGAGUAACGAUAAAGUUGAGGCAAGUUAGAAAGAGUAAAAGCCGAUUGUCAAAGAAUAUAAACAUUGAGUGACAUAUCCUAACACGACAAAGAGAGACCACAGGAACGAACAAUUUGGUAAAUUGGUGCCAGCUCUCCAAGAACAGUUUGGGUUUGCUAGAUUUUUAGAUCUCAUAAUUGAACUUGUUGCCCUGAAACAGAAGAGCACGGUUGAGCAAUACCAUAAUCAAUUUGUAAAUCUUUUGAACCAACUACACUUGCUUGAGAGUUAUGCAUUGAGUAUAUUUGUUCAUAACCUUAAGUCUGAGAUUGGCCAAUAUUUGCGGUUGUUUAAACCAACAAUCUUGGAAGAAUGAUUAAUCUUUGCUUUACAAAUUGAGGAUAUUAUCAACACUGUCUCUCUAAAUAUGUUUCUAUAACGGGGACAUCUAGUUAUUCUAAACCCUUGUUUCCUCAAACCAAGACUUACAACAAUCCUGGGAAUGCCCUUGUGACUAGAGACCAACUUCUUAAUUUGCCUAGUACCAAAGGCCCUACCAAGGCCUUCUAUCAGUCUUAAAUGGAUGAUAGAAUAAAAAAAGGACUCUAUUUUUGGUGUGCCUAAAAUAUGCUUUAGAACACAAAUAUGUUAAAUCCUAAUUAUAUCAAUUGGUGGUCGAGGCUUCUAAUAAACCAACCAACCAGUUAAUCAAUCUUUCAUCGGAGGAUUUCCAAGACUACCCUGAAAAAUUAAAAACCGCAGAAGGGGAAGUUGACUUAGUAGCACUAGUAUUGUUACCACAUACUCUCAAUGGUUCUCAAGGUUAUAACACCAUGAGGUUGGUAGCUCCAAUUGGACACUUGGAGGUCAUUAUUCUUGUUGAUUCUAGUAGCACUCACAAUUUUAUUGAUUCUCGAAUGGUGAGAAUGUUGUAAACACCAAUGGAUCCUUCUUGUAAACUCAAAGUCAUGGUAGCAAAUGGUGUACAUUUAGCAACUCAAGGGGUCUAUUGAUCUGUGAGUUGGGAAGUACAAGGGCAUACAUUUUCCACCAACUUCAUGGUUUUACCUGUCAAAGGGUGUGAUUUAGUCUUUGGGAUUCAAUGGCUUUUGCCUUUGAGGUCUAUUGUAUGGAAUUUUUUCCUCUCUGACCAUAGAAUUCGAACAUUUGAGGCAAACAUGUGCUCUCCAAGGAAUUCUUCUUUGUAGCCUUUAGCUGUUAUCUAGAACACAAUUAUCCAACUAUUUCAGAUGGUAAGGACAAAGACCUAGUCCCAUGUUACUUCCUACCACUGUUCAAGUCGUUUUAUCAUUGUCAUUUCAGUAAUUGCAUUAGGACAUUGAGCUAAUCCUCACUGAGUUCAAUGAUGUUUUUCAACUAUCUACUGGACUUCCACCUAUCCAAAACUAGGACCACAAAAUUCCUUUGAAUGAUGAGUAUCAAGUGGUCAAGAUCAAACCUUACCGAUACCUUACAAUCUAGAAGAAUGAGAUCGAAAGACUUCUACAGGAAAUGUUGCAAGCUAGGAUUGUAAAGGACAUCUAUAGUCCAUCUGCUUCACCAAUUGUUAUGGUAAAGAAUAAGGAUGGAAGCUGGCAUUUAUGUGUGGAUUAUAGGCAGCACAACCAGCUGACUAUAAAGGACAAAUUUCCAAUACCAAUAAUUGAGGAGCUACUUGAUGAAUUGGGACAAGCUGCUUAUUUCUCAAAAUUGGAUCUACAUUCUAGCUAUUACCAAAUUCGUAUGUGGGAGGGUGACAUUCAUAAAACUACAUUUCGCACUCACGAGGGUCACUAUGAAUUUUUUGUCAUGUCAUUUGGCUUGACCAACACACUCUCUGGUUUUUAAUCCUUAAUGAACAGCAUUUUUAAACCUUUACUGAGGAAGUCAGUGUUAUUUUUUUUAUGACAUUCCGGUCUACUCGACCAAUUGGAUUAAGCAUUUGGGGCAUCAGUUGUAUGCUAAGAAAGGAUACAACUUAGGUGGAAUAUUUGGGACAUAUCAUUUCUGCAAGGGUAGUUUUUAUAGACCCUGCAAAAAUCGAAGGAGUUAUUCAUUGGCCUUCCCCAACUUCAUUCAAGAACUUAAGGGCCUUCUUGGGCCUAUCUAGCUAUUAUAGGUGAUUUAUAAGGCACUAUGGGGUAAUAGCCAAACCCUUAACAACCUUAUUAAAGAAGGAGAUCCAUUAGCAGUGGUCUGACAGUGCUUAGACAAGUUUUGAUCAGCUCAAGACAGUAGUCACUCAAGCACUAGUUUUGGUUCUACUAGAUUUUAAGGAGGAAUUAUAUGUUGAAACAGAUGCUUGUGGUCAGGGGAUAUGGUUAUAUUACAAUAGAAGGGUCAUCCCAUUGCCUAUUUUAAUAAGUGGUUAGGCAUUAGGCAUCAAGCCUUGUCCAUUUAUGACAAGGAAAUGUUAGUAGUUUUGCUAGUUUGAAAGAAAUGACAUUCUUAUUUGAUAGGAAGGCAUUUCCACAUUAAAAUUAACCACCAGAGCUUGUGAUUCCUCUCAGACAAGUAGGCCAUUGCUCCUUAUCAGUAGAAAUGGGUGGCUAAAAUGUUUGGCUAUGACUACACCAUCACUUACAGACAAGGAGGACAGAACAUUGUAGCUGAUGCACUUUCAUAACAAGAUCAUUCACUUGAGGGUCAGAUGUUCUAGUGUAUUGUAAGUAUUUCAUGGUCUGAAAUUUGGGGCCAAAUCCUGGAUGCUUGUUUCACUGACACUCGGUUGCAACAGAUCUGUUUAGACUUGCAACAUUCUCUUCACCUCCAUCCAAAAUAUUCAUGCGAUGGGACAAUAUUACGAAGGAAAGGUAAAGUAGUGGUUGGGGAAAACCUGGAACUAAGGAAGAAGAUAUUUGAUAUGUUCCAUAGUGAAUCUAUUAGAGGACACUCUGGGGUCCAUGCCACCAAACACAAAAUUUUAUGGUUGUUUCAUUGAAAGGGCCUCUCAAUGGAUGUGAAGCAGUGGGUAAAGGAAGUGUGGUUUGCUACUGAUACAAGUAUGAUUCCUCUGCCUAUCCAGGGUUACUUCAACCUCUCCCUAUUCCUGAUUGAGCAUGGGUUGCAAUAAGCUUAGAUUUUGUUGAAGAGUUACCUAUAUCCAAGGGGAAGGACAUUAUCCUUAUUGUGUCAAUAGACUCACCAAAUAUGGGUAUUUUUUAGCAUUAUCUCACCCUUAUACUACUCUUAUUAUGGCUCAACUAUAUUUUGAUCAAGUUUACAAUCUUCAUGAGGUCCCUGAAUGUAUCAUUUCUGAUCAAGAUAUGGUUUUCAUCAGCUAUUUCUAGCAAGCCUUAUUCAAACACCUAGGGGUUAAACUACAUUUGUCAACUGCUUACCACCCUCAGACCGAUGGUCAAACUGAGUUAUUAAAUUGGUGCUUAAAAUGGUAUUUGAGGUGUAUGUCAGGGGAACAACCCUUGAAAUGCAUCUUAUGGCUGCUCUUAGCAGAAUGGUGGUAUAAUACCACAUUUCAUACUGCCAUCUAACAAACCACCUACGAGGCCUUGUAUGGCUAAGAACCUCCUCAUUAUAUACCUUAUUUGGUAGGUUCUUUUUCUGUUGCCACUGUUGAUCGUAGGCUACAACAUUGUGUUGCCACAAAACACAUGAUGCGACUUUAUUUAAAAAGAGCACAGGAGAGAAUGAAAUAGAUGGUUGACAAAAGGCGAUUAGAAGGGAGUUUUAGGUAGGUGACUUGGUUUAUUUGAAACUCCAACCUUACUGACAACAUUCAAUUCGAAAAUGGGGUAAUCAAAAGUUCUCUCCUCAUUAUUUUGGGCCCUAUCCAAUUGAAGGUAGGAGGGGAAGGAUAGCAUACAAUUGACUCUACCUGUUGAUGCUCAUAUCCACUCUACUUUUCACGUGUCUCAGCUUAAGAAACAUAUUGGUUAUGUUCCUAGUUCCCCUAUAUUACCUUCUACAGAUUUUGAAGGCAACUUUAUCAAACUACCAGCUCGCAUCCUCAAUCGAAGAAUGGUGAAAAAGGGAAACUAUGCGAUCACUGAAGUGUUAGUGGAAUAGACCAACACUUUUCCUGAGGAUUCCACUUGGGAAUGUCUGAACGAGAUCCAGAAGAAAUUUCCAAUGUUUGAUCCUUGAGGACAAGGAUCGUGUUCUGGAAGCAACUACUUGAUGUGAGAGGACUCAUAAUAACGAUUACUGUUUUUGUAAUUCUAUUUAUUUAUGUUAAAUUCUGUGUUGUCAAAACGCUACAUUUUGAACAUUAGUUUUUAAUGAAAACAGUAUAAGGUAGGGUAGUUAGAUCAGUGUCAAAACGGGGAGUUGAGAGGGAGUAGAUGUACUAGUUAAAAUUAUAACUUCAUUGUCCACCCAAGUUAAAAGGUUUAUCUUUGUUCUUGAAUGCUGCAAUCAAAACCAAUUAUAACUUCAGAAACGUUAUUUAGACAUAUAUAUUUUAAUCUUUGAAGUUUAAAUGGUUUUAAUAUAUUUAGACAUGAAUAAAAAAGGGUAUAUUAUUCGUAUCAUUUUAUGAGAAAAGAAUAGCUCUAUUUUGGCAAUAGUGCAAUCUGAUUGAAUUGGUGAUCAAAUAUUUUUGGCUCCCCUUUUAUUCUUUGCUCAAUUUUUUACCAAGGGAUGAUUAAAGAAAAUAUGGAUUUGAUUACAUCAAUUUAGAUGUAAACAUUAAAUAAUAUUUUUAAAUAUAUAAUGUUUUUUUAAAAAAAGAGAGUAUAUUUUUCGUAUCUUUUCAUGAGAAAAGAAUAACUCUACUUUGGCAAUUAGUGCAAUCUGAUUUAAUUGGUGAUCAAAUAUUAUUGGCUCCCCUUCUAUUCUUUGCUCAAGCUUUUACCAAGGGAUGAUUAAAGAAAAAAAGGAUUUGAUUACAUCAAUUUAUUCUUUCUUCUUUUGCCUUUUUUAUUCAGAAUCAGUCACCUAAGCAUUGGGUUAAGAAUCCAAUUUUCAUUGCAAACUACUUUGUUACAUCAUCGGAAUCACUUCAACCUAUUGCACAAGCUAGAAUUUAUAGUUCAAACAUUGCAAAAUGUUGUCUUUUGCCAAUAUAUAUCGUUUUUUGCUGCUUUACUUUAACAUAAACAUAAAAAUAAAAAAGAUUGGUUUCAAUAAAUUUAGUUGUUCUUGUUUUAGCUUCCAUUAAUUAGGAUUACUUGCUAAAGCAAUUGGAUAAGAAUCUAAUUCCCCUUGUGCAGUACUCUUCUCCUUCCAUGGGAAUCACCUCAACCUGUGUCCACAAGCAAGAACCGUAUAGUUUAAUUUAACUUUUAACCAUAUAAUCAAUUGUACCUGAAACCAAAAAUUCCAAGUUAUCAACUGUCUUUGGUCACAAAAAAAAAAAAAAUUGCUCUCUCAUGGAUUUCUCUGCUGUUUCUUCUGCUCUCAAAGCAAUCGGCGAGCUAACACAAGAAGUCACAUCCUUGUGGGGCGUCGAUGAACAAGUUGAGGGCUUGGCAAGUGAGUUGAGAUGGAUGCAAAGCUUCCUGAAGGUGGCAGACGCAAGAAAAGUUGACAAUGAUAUGAUACGUACCAGCGUUGUUGAGAUCAGAGAGUUGGCCUACGAUGCUGAAGAUGUGAUAGAGACGUUUUCCCUCAAAGUUGCUUCCAAAAGGAAAGGUGGAUUUUCAAAUUGCAUCAAAAGAUCCGCUUGUUUCCUCAAAGAGGGAUGCCUGCUCCACCAGAUCAAGUCAGAGAUAGAGAAAAUCACAGCCAAAAUCAAAGAAUUGGCUCGAAAAUUGCAGAUGUAUGAUGUAUCAAAGUUCGGGGUUGAUGGAGAAGGACCAAGUUUUUCAACUGUAAGGCGGGAGGCAAGGCGGCCUUUUCCUCAUGUUAUGGAUGAUAACAUUGUUGGAUUGGAUGAUGACGUCAAGAAAUUAGUCACAGUUCUUCUCAAUGAGCAAAGUGAAUGUAGGGUUGUCUCCAUAUGCGGAAUGGGUGGUCUGGGCAAGACCACUCUUGCCAAGAAAAUAUAUCAUCACAGCCAAGUUGUUGGUCAUUUCAAGCACUUGGUUUGCGUAUAUGUUUCUGAACACUGUCAAAAAAGAAAGGUUUGGGAAGAUAUUCUAUCAGGUCUUCACAUCCUAAGUGACGAAGACAGGAAGAUGAAUGUUGAAAAAUUAGCAAAAAAGUUAUCUAGUUUCUUUGAGGAUAACAAAUGUUUGGUGAUACUGGAUGAUGUUUGGAAUAUCGAUGCUUGGAAUAGCUUAAAACCAGCAUUUUCAGCAAGAGAGACGAAAAGCAAGAUCUUACUCACCUCUCGGAACAAGGAGAUAGUUUCACACGCCGACAAAAAUGGUUUCUUAUAUGAGCUGCAGUACCUAAACUACGAUCAGAGCUGGGAACUAUUUCAAAAGAUUGCCUUCCCCCAAACAAAUUCUCCAGGUAAUAUGUUUUUUGAUUUCAUAAUCGCAAAAUUAUUCUAUCUAAAUAUAUAUUGCAACAUUUGCUCAAUUUAUUAUUUUUUUUUUGCUGAAGAGUUCUAUAUUUUAAAUUUGCAUAAUAAUUUAAUUAUCUCAUCAACUUUAUAAAAAAAUUAUUUUAGUCAUUCAUUUAUUUUUUCACCUUUUUUAAUUCUUAAACUUGCAUUUUUUGUCAAAUUACUCCUAAAUUGAUAAUAAAGUUAAUGUUUGUUAACUUUGUUGACGUAACAUUCAUAUGAUAGUCCACGUACAAUAGCAAUUAAUUAAUUUUUUUAAAAUUAAAAAUAUAUAUAUUUAUAAUUUUUAAGAAUUUUAAGAAUAUUUAAUUUUUAAAAAAUAUUUUUAUAAUUUAUUUUAAUUUUAAAUUUUUUAAAAAUUAAUUAAUUGCUUACUUGACAUUCACAUGUAUGCCAAUUCAGUAAAGUUAAUAUACGUUAAAAUUUUCAUUAUUUGUAGGAGUGAUUUGACAAACAACUCAAGUUUCAGGAUGAAAAGAGAUUAAAAAUUAAAUGAAUAACUAAAAUAAUCUUUUUUUAUAAAAUUGGAGAGCCAGAUAAGUUAUUGUCCUUCUCAAUUUGUUUAUGAGUUUAUGUCUUGUUCCCAAAAGCUUUUCAGAGUUUGUUAAUUGAUUUAUUGUAUGAAUUUUGUAAUUUUUUAUGAUAAAUUUGAUCAUAUUUGUAGUUUAUUUUAGUAAACUUAUAUAAAGUAGUAUCUAAAUAUUAAAUUUAUGAAAAAUAAAUUUAAAUAAUUUUAAUAUCUAAUACAAAUUGAGCAUUUAAUUUAUUUUGAUUUUUUUUCUAAAUGUUACAUUGGGUGGUUCAGACUAUCCCAAAGUUGAAAAUAUCCCAAUCUUUCUUAUCAACAUUUCUAGCUUAUAAUACUCUUUAUUUUCAAAACUCUAAGCACAACUAGCUCUAUAAUUUGUAUCUAUAAUCUAUAUAAAAUCACAAGUUUAAAAAAUAUUUUGAAUUAACGAGAAUACUUUUUAUUUUUAUCGUAUUACUAAAUUCACAUAUCAAAAAAAUUGAAGUAAACUAGAAGUUAAGAUAAUUUAUUUUACUUUAAAAGAAUUAUUACUUGAGUGUAACUCUAAGCAUAAAAUAUAGGAAAAAAGUUGUGAUAAUUGUAAUUAUAUUAGUUAAAAAAUUGAUGUAAAAAAGAAGGUAAGUUGAUUUUAUUAAUGUAAAAUAGAGUUAUUACUUGAUGAAAUUUUAAGCAUCUUAACAAUCACUUAAUUAAUAUUAGAGUUAAUUUGUCAGCAACUUGCAUUGCAUCCUGCUUCACUGAUUAUUUGAAAUUGUUGAGUAUGUUAAUAUUGUGGUUAAUUUUUUAAACUGUUGCACUGAAUUCUAUGAAAUUUGUUUUGGAAUUAUGCAGGCUAUAAAAUUGAUGCGAAAAUGAAAGAGUUAGGAGAGGGCAUGGUUAAACACUGUGCAGGGCUUCCAUUAGCCAUCAUUAUAUUAGGAGGAAUUUUGGCUACAAAGUAUCCUUCAUUAAAUGAAUGGCUGAAGGUAUCUAUAAAUGUGAAAUCAUACUUCAAGAUCGAUAAAGGUCAAGUAUUAAAAGAUAUGUUAGCAUUAAGUUAUGAUGAUUUGCCUCCCUUUUUAAGACCAUGUUUCCUUUAUUUAAGCCAAUUUCCUGAGGAUUAUGAGAUACCUGUGGAUAGAUUGAUUCAGUUAUGGAUUGCCGAAGGUAUUGUUUCAUCAAAGCAAGAAGAAGGGCUAAUAGCGGAAGAUGUGGCUGAAAGUUAUUUAAUAGAGCUUGCAGAAAGAUGUAUGAUUCAAGUACGAGAAAGAGACAUUGCAACCUUAAAGAUGAGAAGUUUUCAGAUGCAUGAUCUAAUGAGAGAUGUUUGCUUGUCAAAGGCAAAAGAAGAAAAAUUCUUCGACAUUGCUGAUCAGUCAAAUGCCUGCCAGUUAUCCCGAAUUGGGAGGGUUCGCAGAGUUUGUGUACACAAAUUUAUUCGCUUACAGUGCAUUAAAAGUCCACGUCUUCGAUCACUUUUGCUCUUCGAUGAGUUUUUACCGAAUGAAGAACUGGAAAAUACUUUUCCAUUGACAAUGCACAGCUACAUCAAGAACCAUGAUUUUGUGAUACUUUUAGCUAUUAGCGUAUUAGGUACUAAAUGUAGGGGAAUUUGGAAAUAUAUGUUCAAUAAUUUUAAUUUUCUUAGAGUCUUAGAUUACGAAGGAGGAGGAGAGGCAGGAUGCAAGUUACCCAAUGACAUUGGUAAACUCAUCCAUUUACGAUUCUUGAGAUUAAGGGGUCUUGAAUUCUUCACUUCAAAGUUGCCAUCAUCUCUAGGCAACUUAAGGUUCUUGCAAACAUUGGAUUUGAGAAUCAAAAACAUAUGUCGAAGGUCUAUUCAUGUACCUAACCUGUUAUGGAGGAUGCAGCAACUAAGGCAUCUAUAUCUCCCCGAGGAAUGUAGUCUUAAAACAAAGUUGAAGUUGGGUACAUUGAAAAACCUCCAAACACUUGUCAACUUCAACACCAAGAAUUGUUAUGUAAAGGAUCUUAUCAACAUGGAAAACCUUAGAGAGUUGGAGAUUCGAGGGCCCUUCAAUAUUGAAGAUUUUAACACGGAGGAGUUGGACAAGAAUCCACCUAUCAUCCAAAGUAAAUAUCUUCAUUCCUUGUCUAUUAUCAAUGAUGAAGGAAGAAUAGAUCCAAAACAUUUGGUGCACCUACUUUUGAGUUGUGAAAACAUUUCUAAGUUGAGCAUAGAUGCGGAGAUAAGAAGGUUACCAGAGUACCACUACCUGUCUUCAAAUCUUGCUUACAUAAAGUUGAGAAGGUGCAAGCUUGAGGAAGAUCCAAUGCCAACACUUGAGAAACUACCUUACUUAAGGAUGCUUGACUUACAUGAAGAGGCUUUCAUAGGAAAGGAAAUGUCGUGCAGAGCACAAGGUUUUCCCAAACUCGAGUCUCUAAGCCUUACAGGCCUUAAUAAUCUGGAGGAGUGGAAGGUGGGUGAAGGAGCCAUGCCUUCUCUUCAGCGAUUGAAGAUACAAGGAUGCCGACAUCUAAGAAAACUUCCAGAUGGACUCAGGUUCAUUGCAACCCUCCAAGAACUGAAGAUUAGAUGGAUGCCAUACACAUUCGAAGAUAGAGUGAGGAAAUGGGGUGAAGAUUUUUGCAAAGUCCGACAUGUUCCUUCUAUCAUAUUCCAGUAGUUAUGAUUAAUGCCAGGUAAUUCAUAAUCUUUAUUUGAUGAAAUACUUAACCCUUUUGUUUAUAUAUAAAAAUCCACAACUAUUUUGCAUGUUUAGAUUCUUUCUCAAGCAGCAGAUAAUACUUUAGAUAAGAUCCUAGUUUCCGUUCUUAUCCUCCGUUUCUGACAAUGUCUCAUAUUCCCACAGGAUUUGUCAUUUGAAUUAAAAGUGCUAAAAAAAUGUUGCCAAUAGGGUGUUAAGCACGUUCGUGAUGGUCAGCAAAAGCGAUAUGGAAGACUGAAAUUAACUGAAAUUGUCUUUUAUUUCAAGAUUCUUCAACUACUUCAUAUCAUAUUGACAUUUUUUAAUAUUUCCUCUUCAGGUAUAGAAGCCAUUGCCAUAUUUCUUUAUUCUGUUGCUGCUCCUCAUGGGACCAAAUAUAUUUUAAAAAGUUGUAACAGUACCGUGUGGAAUUUUUUGUAUUGUAAAAUUAGAGAUUGAAGUUGUCUUGUAUUUUUUAUUCGCUAGAGAUUGGGUUUUUUUUAUUAUUUAUUUAUAAUUUUCAAAUUUGUAAGGUGCAAAAUUAUGAAAAGCUUUUUAGGUAACUUCUAUUCUACUGUACAUCCCUUGCUUAAAAAUUUUAAAAUUUUAAAAUGAUAAUAAUAUCAAAGUGUGAUGCGAUAAUUCAAUUUUUAAGUAAAUGAAUUUAAAGGUAACAAUAAUUAAAAAAAGCAUGGUAAGUAUGUGACUGAAUUAGUGUUAUAAAUCAACUCGACAUCAACUCAAUUAAUGAAUUUAUAAAAAUAACCUUAUAAAUUUUAAAUAAGCUACGAGUAAUGCAUAUUCGGUAAAUGUACUUUCAUAAAAUAUCCAAUGUGAUACCUAUACUUUGAAAAUGUUCAAUGUGGUACCUAAAUUGUUAAUAUGUUUUAUUAUGAUAUCUAAUGUUAACCACGCUAGUGAAUUACUAAAUUAGCAAAUGAAAAUUCGACAUUUAAAGUUAUUUUAAAAUCCAUGUGGAUAAUAUAACGUUACGUGAAAGGCUAAAUAAAUAAAGAAUAAAUUAAAUUAAAAGCAAAUAACUAAGGAUAUGGUUUAUAAAAAAAGAUAAAUACUAAACUUACAUGAGUAGAAACAUCAUCUUUUCCAAAGAGUUUUCCAUUUGAAAUAAUAUUUUUAAUUGAUUUUUAAAUAAUAUUUUUAUAGGCAUAAUUACUUAGCCCUCUAACUUUAUAGAAAAAGUCAUUUUAGCCCUUCAUUUAAUUUUUUUUACCUUUCUUAUCACUCAAACUUGUAUUUUUUGUCAAAUCAUCCAAAAUGGAUAGAAAAGUUAACGUUUGUUAACUUCGUUGAUGUGGCAUACACAUGGAUUGACAGGUGAGUUUUACGUAAGCAAAUAAUUAAUGUUUAAAGUUUUAAAAAAUUGAAAAUUAUUGAAAUUAACAAAAAUAUAAAAUUAUUUUUUAAAAAAUAAUUAAUUGCUAAUGUAGCAUACAUGUGAUAAUUCAUGUGUAUUCCAUAUCAACAAAGUAACAAACGUUUAACUUUUUCAUCCACUUUGGGAUGAUUUGACAAAUAAUACAAGUUUAAUGGCUAAAAGAGACAAAAAGGAGUUAAAUGGAAGCCUAAAAUAACCUUUUUUUGUAAAAUUAGAGGGUCAAAAAAGUCAUUAUACCUUUUUAUUAUCCACGUAAGUACUGGUGCGUUACUGGAAAUUUAAUAUUUACUUCUUUUUUAUUAACCAUAUAGGCCCAAUUCGCCCGGCCCACAAUAAAACCAAAAAUCAAUUAAAAAUAAAUAAAUAAAGUCUAAGUUUUUUACAAACCAUCAAGCCCAAAUAAUAAAUUAAAUUAAAAGCAGCCCAAAUACAUUUUUUAAACCCAAUUGAAUAAACCCAAACCCUAAACCCGAGACCUAAUUGGACCCAAAGAAAAUCAACAACUGAGAACACCAGAAACUUCUGGAAUACACCAGAACAGUGCCAGGGGGUCGGGUUCCCAUGAGCCGUUUCCUCGCUCCUCCGUACAGCCGUUCCUGUAAAAGAAUACACGAGAAGAAAUAGAAUAACAGAAUACGCGGAUGACAGUAGGAAAGUAUUUUUAUUUUUUCGCUAUUUCUUUGUAAAUUCAGACUAUAAAAGCCUCACUUGUACUCCAUGUAUUUUUACGCAAGCAUGCACACUAAAUAUCAAAAAGAGAGAAUCAAAAGUUAUUCAAAGGUAAUUUCUUAUUCUGUUUUUUUUUCUUUUUUGAAUUGCUUGCAAUCUUUUGCAUGAAAACAAAACGAAUACCUGAAACGACGCCAAUGAGAGCCCAAACAUUUCAGAAAUGUGAAGGUAUGGGCGAGGUUGAAUGGUUGAGUGUGUUCUUUCGAAUUUUGCUAUGUUUUUUCGUGAGCAAGUAGUAUUAGAUCUAAAGUUUUUUUUUUUUAAAUAAAAUAGCUUACCAGAUUUCCUUGAGCGGAGCCUUCGUUGGUGGAAUCUGGUCGCUGCUUGUGCAUUGUCGACCACCAAAUGGAAUGGUGGUUCGGCGGUUGCUGGAAUGAGCCCUAACAAAUUGAUUUUAGGGCUGUAAAUUUUGGUUAGAAUGUUGGCUGUGUUUGGAAAAGGAAAUAGGAAAAAAAAAAGGUUUUAAAUAACCUAUUAAUAAAACGGCACCGUUCAAAGGGAUAAAGAUCCGCUUGUUGGCCCGAUUAACAAGUCAGAUCCACGCCCUUUUGUUUGAAUGGGGAAAUUGCGCGCUGGAUCCUUCCUUACGCGCGAGUAUUCAAUUGCGUCUUGUUAGUUUUGCCUUGUUUUUUAAUUUGGCUCUUUAGUUCAUGCGUGUUUUCAUUUUAGUCUGUGAUACAGUGCUGCGUUUCGAGCUCAGGGAUAUUUUCAAUUCUAGUCCCCAUACAUUUACGCGCAUUGCACAUUGAUCUUAUUUACGAUUAUUUCAUUUGUAAAUUAUCCUUCUUAUUUUGGAUUCAAUCUUAAUUUGGUCAUUCAUUUGUAUAAUCUACUAAUUUAAAAUACAUUUAAUAUUUUUAUAUGUGUUAAUCCAUUUUAAUGAUUCUGUUUGUUUUCAUUUGUACAAUUAUUUUGAGAUUUCUUUUAUCUUAUAAUUUUUACAUUUUGCACAAUAUUUUUUUUAAAAUAUUUUAUAGAUAUUAAUAUACACAUUAUUCUCAUAGAGAUUUCAAUAUAUAAUACCUAUUAUUUUGAGGUUCACAACAUUUUUGUAUAUGAGUUGAGCCAUCUUAAUAACUUUAUUUUGUUUUAUAAAAUCAUCAUUUUAAAAUUCUUUUUACAUUAAGCUAUUUUAAUACUUUUAUAUAACCUUUUGUUUAAAUGUUUUUAGGUUUUUCUAUUUAAAAUACUUCUUGCUUUAUGAUUCACCUAGUAUUUUUCUUUAUGUAUAUAUGAAACUAUUUUAGGAACUUCAUCUUUGUGUUUAUAAAAUUAUUAUUUUGGAAUGCUUCUUUAUAUUAUAUUAUUAUUAUGUCUUAUAUAGUAUCUCAUUUAAAUGUUUUUUUUAUGUAUAAUGGUACAUAUAUAAUUUAUAAAUUAACUUAAUUUUAUAUAUAUUAUUAAUCUUAUGCUAUUUUUACAAAUAAUUAUUCCUAGAUCUAUUUAUAUAUGUAUGUUUUGUGAAUCUAUUAUGUGUAUUAUAUCUUAUCAUGUAUUUUUAUUAUUCUUUCAUAUUUUAUAUAUUAUUUAAGUUAUCAUGUAUAUUGUCAAUUUUUUUUAAAAUGAAUUUAUGUUUAAAAUAUUUUGCAUAUAAUUUGAUUCAAACUUUUAUUAUAUAAUAUCUAUUUCAAUAAUUAUAUAUUCCUAGUUUUUAUGCAAUUUUGUCAACUUAUAUAUUAUAUAUCUUAUGAGUUCAUUAAUUCAUCAUUAUUUUGAAAAUGUCUUAUACCAUAUUGACUUCUAAUUCCAUUUUAUUUUGUACAUGCUUUGUGGAUUGUUUUAUAUUGUGCCAUAUUUAUUGUUGAUAUAUAUUAUUUAGUCAUUGUUUUAUUUAUUAUUCAUCCAUGAUUAAGAAUUUGGUUACAUUUUACUUAGAAUAGUUGUACUUAAUUGUUGGAUUUAUUAAUUGUGGAUUAUUGUACUAUAUGUGUGCAUAUUAUUUCAUGUUUAUUAAUCCUUUUCUAUACAAAUGUUUUGUUACAAUGCAUUAAGUAUUCCAUCUAUUUUAAAACAAAUAAAUGUGUUUUGAGCUAAUUUCCAAUUUUCCUUGUUAUUCAAAAAUUCUGAAAUAAGGCAAUAUCCAAUAUUUGGGAAUUCGGGAAAUCGUGCCCUACCGUGCUGGGUAUGAUUUUUCGGUGAACUAAAUAUUUGGAUAUCCUUUUAUAAUUUUAGCGUAUGAGUUUUUGAAAGUCAAAAAUCAACCGUAUUUUAGAAGGUAUAAAGGAUCGUGUCUAAUCGUGCUGGGUAUGAUGCUACAUAUCUUUGAAACGAGAGAAUUUUGACAGUUAACUUGAACUAUUCAAACAUUUUAAAAAGAUCCAUUCUUCGAAAGAUCCUUUUUAAAAUCUUUGAUAUAAAGAUAGCAUCGAAUCAAUUUGGUACCAAUUUUUGGGCAUAAUGAGGGUGCUAACCCUUCCUCAUGCGUAACUGACUUUCGAACCCAUUUUUUUAUUUUUUAUGUGAACCAAAAAUGGUUUUAAGUGGAACAAAACAUUUUAGUAGGUGACCCAAUCACACCUAAACAAAGAAAUUGGUGUCGACUCCACGUAUUGUUUAAAAGUUGAUUUCUGUUUUUUUUUCUUUCAAAUAAAAAAAUGGUUUCGACAUAUUCCAUGUCAACAAAGUUAACAAACGUUAACUUUUCCAUCCACUUUGGGGUGAUUUGACAAACAAUACAAGUUUAAGGCAUAAAAGAGGAAAAAAGAUUUAAAUUAAAGCCUAAAAUAAUUUUUUUUGUAAAAUUGGAGGGUCAAAAAAGUCAUUAUACCUUUUUAUUAUCCACAUAAGUAUUGGUACGUCCCUAGAAGUUUAAUAUUUACUUCUUUUUUAUUAACCGUAUGUUUAGUUAUUUGUUUUUAAAUAAAAACAAAAAAAAUUCUAAAAAAAGUUCUAAAUUUUUUUAAAAGUUUUCUAAAAAAAAGAAUUAAAAAAAUUUAACAGCUUGGAAAAAUUUAGAAGAAAGACAUUAGAAUAUAAAUAAAAAAAAUUAGGUUUUAAAUAAUUAUUUUUUAAAAUUUUUAUUUGCAUUAUUUUUUCUUAAAAUUUUCUAUUAUUUUUUAUUUUUAAUUGUUUUGCUAACGUGACAUAUAAGAUAAAAUAACGACACAUCAAUAAUUAUGCACAUGUAGAGUGGCAUGUUAACACAUGCCGUUGACUAUUAGUCAACUAACGGACACAUUAUCAACUCCGUCAGAAAAUGAUCAAUUUGAUAAAAAAAACUAUGAGGAUUAAAGUGCUCAAAAAUAAAAAAGAAUAAGGGCUAAUGAGUAACCAGGAAAAUAUUAGGGACUAUUUUAGCAAUAUACCUUCUAAAUUCAUGGAGGAAAAAUUUUACUGUAAUUUUAAUUUUUUAUCAAAGUUAUGCAAUCAUAUUUGGUUCUUGAUGGUACUAUUUUUUUUUUUAGUUUUGGAUCUGUAAUUUGAUUGGUUCUUUUCCUUCUUCUUCUUUCUUUUUAAUUCAAGCCAUUUGAUUUCGUUUUCCAGAGUAUUUGAUCGAUAAAAGUAUCACAUGUACUAUAUUUUGGAUUACAUUUUUGUUUUUCUAUUGAAAAAAUAGACGAGUUAACUCCUAUAUGUUAGAUGAGUUAAAAAAUAGCCCCUCCGUUAAAAUUUAGUUUUAUAUAUAAGAUAUAAUAAUAAAUUUAGCCCUCAACCUUUAUACAUUUGCUCAAUUUGACCCCUACUCUUUUAUUGAAGUAAAUUAAAAAACUUCGAAACUUAAUAAGACUAAAAAGUUAAAAAGGCUGUAGUAACAAAUUAAAAAAAAAUCAAUUAAGCCAUUUUAAAAUUUUAAAAUUAUUUAAAAAAUUCAUAAAAAAUUAUAAAUAAAAUGUUAUAAAAGUUUUAAAAUUAUAAAAUAUUUAUUAAAAAUGAGAAUACCAAUCCAUUAAAUCUAAUAGUUAUAAAAUUUUUAAAAAAUACCCCAACUCUUUUAUUGAGCCAAUAUGGUUAUUUAUUAAAAAAAUUAUAAAUUUAUAAAUUUUUUAAUAAUUUUUAAAUUUUAAAAGGGCUUAAUUGAUUUUUAAAUUUGUUUACUAAGGCAUUUUGACCCUUUAGCUUUAUUAGUUUUAAAAUUUUCUAAUUUACUUCCAAUAAAAGAGUAGGGUCAAAUUAAAUAAAUGUGUAAAGAUUAAGAGCUAAAUUUAUUUAACGAUGUAGUACAAGCCAAUAAUCUAGAAUGAUCCUUUCUUGGUCUGCCUCGUCUCUUUUCCAUUGCCUCAUCUUCUUUUUUUCUCCUUAAUCUCACAAUUUCGUCAUCAUCAAAAUCGUAGAUGCUUCUUACUUUUCUGUUAUUGCGCACGAUUCGCUCCAAAUUUCCAGAAUCGCUUUUGAUACAUAUUCCCGGUUAAACAAUGCAGUUCGUCCCAUCUGUGUUCUCACUUCUUCAACCAUCACGUAAUAUCUCUCAUUGACCUCAUUAAUUAGGAUCAUAGCCAUAUCCUUUUCUAGCCCAAAAUCAACGAGGCUAUCGUCCCCGAAGAAGUAUUCGAGGUGGUUGCCCUAAGGGUCUAGUUCACAGAACCCAAUUGGUGUCAAAUACCCCAACAAGUGACCCAUACUCACGUCACUCCUCUAUCUCCGUCUUCCUCUCAUUUUCUUAACCAUGUCAUUUUGAUGUAUUGUUUGGAUGUGUUUUGCCUUAUGCUGAUCUAUUUUGUUCUGUUCUUGUAAUGUUAAUACUUGGAUUCUAAGAUUUUAAGCACAACGUAAAUAUUGUGACUAGUAAUUUGAGUAAGGAAUACAUACAACAAACGGCACAGCCAAAAAAUGAAAGACUAGACCCCAACAUAAAACUGUGAUUGCUUCAAUGGUCAAUCCAUCUAGCAAUAGCCAAGCACACAAUAAUUAAGUUUUUAAUUUAGCUUAGAUUCUAAAAAAUAAUAUAUAUAUAUAUAAAUUUAAAAAAUAUUAAAAUGAUAUAUAAAAACUCUAAAAAAAUUAUAAAAUUAUAUUCUACACUUGUCGAGACUACCAAAAAUAAAUUCCUACUCAAAAGUAAUUUUGCAAAUAGCAGUGAGUAAGGUCAAAUCCACAUAUACCAGUGAUUCUAUUUCUUCAAUAAAAAUAAACAAAUUAAAGAUGAUGGGGGAUAUUUUUAUAAAACUAAAAUUAAAAUUCAAACUUAGAAAAACAAUAAUCAAAAGUUGAGAGAAAAUCAAUAAGGUGAAACUUUCACCAAAGGUAAAAUUACCGUUCGAUUCAUGAGUUUAAUCAUUACGAAAAGAUGAUUUUCAGUGUGCUUUAAUAAAUUGAUUAUAGUUCUCGGUGAUCAUCUAGCAACCAAUCUCUUCUUACUUUCUCGAUAAAUGAGACAAAUGCUAUUAAUUAAUUCUCUUAUUGAUAAACAAUCAUAUAAUGACCACUUUGGAUUUAAUCUAUCAAUAACAUUGAGAAUGAAAGAGCCUUAAUUUUAACCAACAAAUUUAAAUAUACAAUCAGAGUUUAUUUAAGUUGGACCGUAUGCCCGCACAACAUAGAAUGCAUAUCUUUAUCGUACCCCCCUAUGUUGCUUAUCACUAGUAUACAAUUACUGAUUUGACACUUUUAAUGGACAAGACAAAUAUUCUAAGCAAUUGAAUAUGGGUUAUAUAUUCAACAAAUAUAAAUAUUUGCAAUUAAAUCAGAAGAUAUAUAAAUAUCUGAAGAACAAAGAAAGAUCAAGAACAUUUAUAUGUGACAAAAUCUUCAAGUCAAACUUCGAAGUUCCUUCAACUAGAAAAAAAAUUUAGCAAUUCAAGGAGAAAAUAGAACAAAAAAAUAAAAAUAAUACUAAGGGGUGAUUAUGUCUAGGUAUAUCCCUAUAUAACUUAAUAAUAUCAAUUUAUAGAGCAAAAAUCACAUAAUGAAAAAAAAAGUGUCAUUAAUUAAAGAAAAUUUCUAGGUUUCUCGGUAAUUUUCACGUCAAAAUUUGAAGCUAAUGUCAGACACAUUCCCAAUAUUUUUUGAGCUUGAGUUGUCAAAUAACUUUUGUUAGAUAUUUUGAUUCCUUUUGAAUCGGUUUAUUAUGAGCCAAAGUAGAAUUUUGUAGCCCAAGUUAUGACAAAAAAAAUACUAAACCUUGUAAAAAAAUAAACUAAACUCCUUUUUCUUCAAUUAUUCCCUAAAUUAUAAUAAGUAAAAUAUAAUUCUUAAUAAUAUAAUUAAUUAUUUAAAUAGAAUAAUUGAAUAAAAUAAAUAUAAAAAAAUUAGAAAAUUAAAAAAUUACAUGCUUAUCAAAUUUCUCUACACUUUAACUAUGCUUGUCCUCAAGUAUAUGCAUAAACAACUUAAAGAAAUACUUAACUCAAAUCAAUAAUUAAAAAUAUCGUUAUAUUUUAAUGGAACAAGAAAAUAUGCUUUUAUGAAUACAAUCCAAAUCGAAAUUUUAUAUGAUAAUAAAAAUUAUAAGAGCAACAAUAAUAUAUACAAUAACCCAAGUAACACUUAAAAUAACAUUAGGAUCAAGCAUAGAGUUUCUACAAUGUAAAAUAUGCUGCCAAAACACAAAUCUAACCAAAGAAAAAGACAUGAAUAUGUUAACUGCAAACAAAAUACUAAUAAUAUUAAACAGGCAAAAUAUAAUUUGAAAAAAGUGACUAAACACCCAAAUUAGAUUAUGUCACAUUUUCAAAAUUAAACUAUUUGCUCACUUAAAAUAUGUUAUAAGUUUCUGUACCUUAAUUUAUUUUUUUAUAUUUUAAAAUAUAAAUCUAAUUGUUAUUAUUGUUAAAAUAUUUUUGUUAAAUUCACCGGUACGACACUUUCAAUUUCUUUUUAAAGAAAAAUUCACUUAGAAGUCGUGUAACAAAAAAAAUUAACAUUGUAAUGAACUUGAAUUUAAUAGAAUAAUUUUAACGACAUUAAUAAUUGGACUUGUAUUUUUAAAUCCUAAAAAUAGAGAGGUUAAAUUUCUUAAAAUAAAAAUAGAAAGAUUAAUUUCCAAAUGUUCGAAGAGUAAUGGACUUGGAACAUAUUUUAACCUAUUUAUUCACGUGGCUAAUUUAAAAAUGCUUUCAAUGCAUGUAAUAUAAGCCACAUGAGCAAACUUUUUUAUUUUAAAAAUGUCACGUGAUCUAAUUUAAUUGAAGUCCUUUGAGAAUGUUAUCAAUUAGACUUCAAUUAUUAAAUCAAAAAAAUAGUGUUAAAAAGAAAAGGACUAAAUGAAACGUACAAGGAUCGGAAGCAAAUUAGACCAAUUACCCAAAUUAUUUUUUAUCUGAUCUAAGAUAGCCUUCUCCAGAUUCGGCUGGCCACUUGGCUUGUAAGACCCCUUGUCAGUUACCGCUCUCCUUAGAUCCCUCUCUUUUCGUUAUUCUUCCUUUUUUCUUAAUUUUAGUUUGAAUUUUCGUCAGCUUCGUCCGUCUCUGGGAUUCAACAUAUUUUCUUCAUAAUCAUUUGAAUAUCCUCACUCAAUUCUCAUUCUGAGUUUCUUUCGUUAGGUCAUUCUUAUUAUCCGAGUGAGAAAAAUAGAUGAGAGACCGCAGUCAAUUCUCUAUUUCGAUUCUAUAUCUGUAGGGAAGUGUGAGAUGGAGGGGUCACCUCCACCAUGAAUGCAGAGAGACGAUGGAUAUGUUGGAACAAUGGCAGCAACAAUGCAAUCAAAACAAGCUUAAGAAAUCAAAACAAAAAGCAAAAGAAACUAAGAGAACUUGAGCUCAAAGACUGACUAAAAAUUCCACUUUUUCAUUGCAUAAAAUGGUAACUUAUAUGAAUUACAAAGUCAAUGGACAUUUACCUAAUAACUUAACUACUCCCACUAAUACUUAACAAAAACAAAUUUAAACCACAUACAAAAGUAAGCUGAUGUAAUAACCUAAAUUUACCCGAGCCCAUAAAAUAAAUAAAUAAAAAAACAACGAAAACAAAUUAUAAAAAAAAAUCAAAUAAAGUCCAUUUUCAGUCCAUUUACAAAGCCCAAAGUUCGGUUACCUUUGUAGCCCAAAAGCCCUAUACCAGGUUACACCCAAGACCUGAUUAGCCUAAACCUUUAGCCCAAAAAGUCAUUUAACCCAAUACCCAUUACACCCUUAACCCAAAAAAUGAACGGGGCCCAAGAGGCCCAAAGUGUUAACAGAAUACGGAAAGGCUUAGGGUUUCAGAAACCCUAGGCGCCGCAAACACUCAACAGACGCGCCCGUUCGUCUCUCAGUGACCCACCAUUAGCGCCGUAAUUCCAGGCACCACAUCACUCCAAAAUUGACGCCUGAAUCAACGCCGGUGUGCCGUCGUCAGUGCUCGUUCAUUACUGGCCGCCUUGCUAGUACCUGCAAAAGAAGAAGAAACCACAGUAACCAAAAAAACAAACAGGGAAAGAAAUCAAAGGAUUCUUUCUUAAAAUGUAACAGAGGGCUAUAAAAACCCCUUUUUUGAUCUUUUGUAAUACACAGUUUUUUUGGCUACACACAGAUUCAAUAAAAAGUCGUUUUUACACACAUAUACAGAAGAGAGAACCAUAGUCGAUUGAGGAACACAGAGGUGAAUAUUUUUUCUCUAAACAUAUAUAGAUAUUGUAACAGUAAAAAUAAAAAAAGAAAGGAAGGACGUACCUUUAAUCUGCGUUAAAAAGCAGGUUUUUUUUAGCCUCUGGUCACCGUACAUGGCGGGGUUGGCGACGGCGCUUGGGCGCGUGAGUCCGAUGAAUGGGGCCUGGCUCGACGAAGACCGGAGCCCGGAGGACUGCUCUCUUGUAACACCCCAAACCCAGCCCAGAAGUUAUGGCCGGAUCCGGCAUGCCACAUUAAAAACGUUAAAAAAAAUUUCAUUCUAAGUCCAGAAAAUCGUACUUGAUGUUCAAAAGAUUAAUUCAUUAAGGGUUAAAGUGAAUGGAAGCUGUGCACCAGGUAGGAAACCGAAAAAGAGGUGGUGAGUCCAUCGGACUGCUUAAGUACCAAGCUCCCUUCGGAUCCAAUCCUAGACAUGCAUACCGCCAUUGCCACACCUUAACGUCAUGGAUAUUUCUAGGAAACCGAUUUGAUUAAGUCAUUUUUAAGAAAAGUGAUUAAUUUUGGAAAAUACUUUCAUUGCGGAAGCUUUGCUUGUUGUCGUGUUAUUUUGAAAUCAAUUGUUGUUUUUGAAAACGCGCCCUAAAGCUAUCCAAAUUCAAUAGUUAAAAUAAGUAAUACCUAUCUUAGUAAUACAUAUUAAAACCAUCAAAAAUAAUUAAGCGGCCUUAUUACAGUUAAAAACCUAAAACUUCAAACGUAAAUAAAAGGAUGUCCAGUUCACCAGAAGAAAAUCAAACUUUCAGAACGGGUGGCCACUCCGAAUUCCCUCACAACUCCAAGCCCACUAUGGUUGGGGAUUUCCUGCGUGGAUGAAAAUAAAAAGGGUGAGUUUGGGGAAACUCAGUGUGUAAGGAAAACCCAUUCAAAGCCCAAGUCAGCUCAAGCCCAUUGGGCCUAAGCCCAUUCAGGUAACAGUGGUACUGGGCCAGAGCCCUUUUCAGAUUACAAUAAACUGGGCCUUAGCCCCUUAUUCAGAUAACAGUAUGGCCCAUAGGCCCAUUUGGAAAUACAUGCAACAUCAAUAAACAUAUGCAAGCCCAUUUGGGGAGACUACUCAACCCACCAACCACUAUACUCCACCCGUACCAGCCAUACACUCCAUGUGGGGAAUAGCUCAACCCACCCAGCCUAACACUCCACAGUUGCAGCCUUGCUGCUCAGUUAACAGUAAAUUGAGGCAAAGCCUCCAGUAUGUGGACAAGCCACUUUCAGUACUUCCUCCGUCAAUAUCCCAAUCCCAUGCAUCAGAUAAUAACAACAUGGCAUGCAGUAAAUAACAACAGUCAAACAUGCAUUUAGGUCAAUUUAACCCUAGGGGUAUUUCGGUAAUUUAUCUCUUAGGGGUAAAACUGUAAAUUUUCCACUUUUAAAGGUAUUUCAGUAAUUUAUCUAUUUUAGGGUUUUUCAUGCAUAUUCCUACUUUUCACGUACUAACAGAAUCACGUACCGAGGGUUCUUACCGAAUUGGGCCUGUUGGCCCAUCAUUCCAAUUUUGGCCCAUUAAGCCCAAAAAUAUCGAGGGCACAGAAAUCAUGCACUUUGCAGUCCAAAUUUUGCAGCUUACCAAAAACAUUAAUCGAUUUACCUCACGAGCAUUCGCACACUCGCAAAUCUAAAAAAAUACCGAUUUUCGGUAUUUCAGCUUUUCGACUUUUGCCGAUCCAGACUAAGAAAGAGGGUGUUAGUUACACACCUGUUUGCGACGAUAUGCUGACGAGAUCCACACACGAACUGCCUACAAUUGGAUUACUAACAAGUUAAUCUAACUAUUCAAAUACAAACUACGUAUUAACCCCUUACAAUAUUCGGCCAACCACACCUACAGAUCAUAGUAAGCUUAUAAGAAAACAAUAAGCAACUCAUUAACAAAUUUUUGUCAAUGUUUACCACAUAAUCAUAAUUUCACUGCAAGCUGUCUUCCUGAGCAACAGUCACUAAAUCAUUUAUAACUGGAGCUACGAAACUCCAAAUCAAGUUCCGUUAAUUUUCCUUGAAGAUAGACUCAUAUAUAUUCUAUCCAUAAAAUUUUCAGAAUUUUUGGUUUAGCCAAUCAAUACCAGAUUUUUCUCAAAGUUUCCCAUGUUUCACUGUUUGACUAAUCUGACCACUCUUCAUUACGAAUCAAAUUUCUCAUUGUACAGAAUUAAAAAUAUGUUCUAGUUUAUUUCAUUAGAAACUAUACUUAAUAAGCUUUAAUUACAUAAUUUAUUCAGCUUCUAAUUCAUCUCCCACAAUUUAUGGUGAUUUUCCAAAGUCACGUUACUGCUGCUGUCCCAAGCAAAUUUAUUACCAAAUCACUCUUUCACACAUACCUUGCAUGCAUGUUAUUUAAACAUGUAUAUCACCAAUCAAUCAUCACAUAUCUAUGAUUUUACUUAAGUAUAAUCUCCAUUUCAUCAUUUUAAAGCACAACAUGUUAGCUGAUUUUUCCCUUUAACAUCUAAGGCACAUGCAUGCUCAUUUGUUUGGCUUAACUUCACCUAUCUUCCAUUUUUCAUCAAAAGAACAUGAAACAACAACAAUUUCCUUCAUUUUAAUUCAUGACUAAAUGCUCACAACACAACUAAAAAUCAAAAUAUACUUCAAGAGUUAAGGUAGAAUCAAGAAGAACUCAUGAACCUCAAAAUAGAAGCAAGGUACCAAGAACUUACCUUUAAUUUUCCUCUUCCUAAUGACCGAAUACUCAAGAGCUUUCUCCUCUCCUUUCUCUUCUCUAACUUUCAGCUAUGAUGAACAAAGAUGGACAAAACUUUGUUCUUUUCACCCCUUUUUCUUUUAAUAAAACUUCAUAUUUCAUCCAUUUAAUUCUUUAAUACAAAAGACAUGAAAUUCUUAUCAUGAGACAUUUACCUAACCCAUUAUCAUGAAACAUUUACCUAACCCAUUAUCAUGGAACAUUUACCUAACCUAUUAUCAAUUUGUAUCAAUUUGUACCAUAAAUUAUGGAUAUCAAGUGUACAUUUUGUCUACAACAACAUGAUGGCUGGCCACUUCAUGUAAAAUUGGAGGUUUGUCAUGCAAAUCCUCCUAUUUUGCACUCCUAUUUAUUUGGUCACUUCAAUUUAGCCUAUAGCAUUUUCAAACAUUUUCACAUAGGUUCUAUUUCAUAAUUUCACCCCCUUUUUGUUAUGGAACAAAAAUUAACUAAAAUUAUCGGGUUCUAUCUUAAGUUUGGGCUUUCUAGAGGCCUACUAACAUAAUUAAACCUAUGCCAACAUUCACAGGAUUCCUGAAAAUUGGGGCGUUACAACUCUACCCUCCUUAAAGAAAUUUCGUCCUCGAAAUUUACUUAAUCCAAACAGAUGAGGGUAUUGCUGUUGCAUCGUCUCUUCUGGCUCCCAAACUCAGAAGUUUCCCCUUCCUUAACUUGUUGAAAACGAGCAACCAAAGACUCAUCGUUCAACUAUUUUUCCUUAAUCUGAUCCACCCAGGUUGGCCUCACUUGCAACUCAGCCAACAGACUUCUAUCAUCAUACAGACUCAGACGAGCAAACAUUGCUCUCAGAUCAGAUACAGCUCUACAACUUAGAGCAUCGGCUACUACAUUAGCCUUGCUUGGGUGAUACUCGAUUGAACAAGCAUAAUCCUUAAGCAACUCAAUCCAUCUCCUUUGCCUAAGGUUCAGCUCCUUCUGAGUCAACAAAUACUUAAGACUCUUAUGGUCAGUGUAUAUAAUACACCUUUCUCCGUACAAGUAAUGUCUCCAAAUCUUAAGUGCAAAUAUCACUGCUGCCAACUCUAAAUCAUGAGUCAAAUAGUUUCCCUCAUGAGGCUUAAGCUAUCGUGAUGCAUAUGCAACCACCUUACCCUUUUGCAUUAACACGCAGCCCAAACCCACGUGUGAUGCAUCACUGUACACAGUAAAAUCAUUCCCAGACUCCGGUUGAAUUAACACAGGUGCUUCAGUCUUUCUUCAACUUCUCAAAAGCUUCCUGCUGCUUCUCAGUCCAUACAAACGGUACUCUUUUCCUUAUGCGUUUUGUCAGGGGUGCUGCCAUCGCAACCUUCUACAAACUUUCUGUAGCAUCCUGCCAGUCCUACGAAACUCCGUAUUUUCGACACUGAACUAGGCGGCUUCCACUCCAAAAUCGCUUCAAUUUUUCGAGGGUCCACCUUAAUCCCCUCAGCAGAGACCACAUGCCCUAAGAAGGUUACCUCCCUCAACCAAAAUUCACACUUGCUAAACUUCGCAAAGAGUUUCUUCUCCCCUAACACUUGCAGCAAUAUACGGAGAUACUCAUCAUGUUUCGCUUCAGUUUCAGAAUAUACCAGGAUAUCGUUAAUAAAGACAACUACGAACUGAUCUAAAAAUGGUUGGAACACGCGAUUCAUCAAAUCCAUAAACGCUACAGGAGCGUUCGUCAGUCCAAAUGGCAUAACCAGAAACUCGUAAUGACCAUACCGAGUCCUGAAUAUUGUCUUAUGGAUAUCCACUUCCUUUACCCUUAACUGAUGGUAUCCAGAUCGAAGGUCAAUCUUGGAAAAUACCGAAGCUCCUCUAAGUUGGUCAAAUAAAUCAUCAAUCCUUGGUAGUGGAUACUUAUUUUUAAUCCUCAGUUUGUUCAACUGGCGAUAAUCAAUGCACAUCUGCAUCGUACCAUCCUUCUUUUUCACGAAUAGCACUGGUGCUCCCCAUGGAGACACGCUUGGCCUAAUGAAGCCCUUAUCCAACAACUCUUGAAUUUGUGCCUUUAGCUCCACCAACUCCUUCGGUGCCAUUCUAUACGGUGCGAUAGACACAGGUGCCGUUCCAAGCAAUAAGUCGAUUCUAAACUCCACUUCUCGGUUCGGAGGCAAUCCUAGAAGCUCUUCCAGAAAAAUAUCUUGUAACUCCUUUACAGUCCUAACCUUAUCCACUGUCAGUCCCUCCUCUUCCAACUGACUUACAAAUGCCAAUUAGGCCUCACAACCUUUCCGAAUCCACUUUUCGGCUCUUAAUGCCGACACCAUAUUGGACAAAUAAUCCCUUCUCUCACCUAUCACCAUAACCUCCUCAUCCCUUGUAGUUCUUAACACCAUUCAUUUAGCAGCACAAUCUAGAGUCGCCUUAUGCUUAACAAGCCAAUCCAUUCCCAGAAUGAGGUCAAACUCUCCGAAUGGUAACUCCAUCAGAUCUCCAGGAAAAAAAAAACCUUGCCUUGAGUUUCUAAGGGUACAUUCCUAUACAGUUUGUCUACCCUAAUCGAGUGACCCAAGGGACUUAGUACAGAUACCCCACUCACAAUCUCCUCAGAGCAGUCCAAGUCAUCCAUAAUCCAUUCUGUGGCCUCCAACCAAUAUUCCGCCACAUUCGGGGCUAUACCAGACACGCCCUUAAAGAUCUCCGUUCCGUUAGUCCCGAAGUCAUUCAGAAAUAGAUCCCUGAAUUUCGUUGUCCGAACUUGCUCUGGAAACCCUUUCCAGAACACGAAGCAUUGCCUGUGACAGGGCAUCAUCCUCGGCACCGCGGUCAUGAGACUCUACCUCUGUUACCGGUGGUACCGGUGCAUCCACCGCUGGCAUAUGUCUCGAAGACGAAGAUCUCGCUCGAGCACUUCCUCGGCUCCGUCCACGGCCUCUUAUACUCAUAUCGUAUUAUCUUGAUUACAAAUUUUUAUGCAUCAAUUCAAUAUUCCAGUGUUUAUUACAGAUGUUUUAUGAAUCAGACAGUAAUUAAAAGUUUGUUUUCGCAGAAUCAAAGUCUAGCUACAGUUUUAGUCUCUUAUCAGAUUUUCCUAUGGUUUCAGAAUCAUCUUAUCUAGAGUAUCCUAGUAGGGUUUCAGUACAGACAGAUAAUUCAGAAAAAUAUUCAGAAGAGUUCAGAGUAAUAGUUACAGGCUUGAGCCGGAGAUUCGGAAUGCCACCUUCUAAAGAUCUAAAUUUUGAAAACCGCGUUUUUCGCAAUCUUUAUAAAAUUUUUAUUUUCGAAGAUCUAAAUUUUGUAAACCCAUUCCACAGCCGAGUUGUUGUAACCUAGGCUCUGAUACCACUAAAUGUAGUACCCCAAACCCGGCCCAGAAGUUAUGGCCGAAUCCGGCAUGCCACAUCAAAAACGUUAAAAAAAUUUUCCAUUCUAAGUCCAGAAAAUCGUACUUGAUGUUCAAAAGAUUAAUUCAUUAAGGGUUAAAGUGAAUGGAAGCUGUGCACCAGGUAGGAAACCGAAAAAGAGGUGGUGAGUCCAUCGGACUGCUUAAUUACCAAGCUCCCUUCGGAUCCAAUCCUAGACAUGCAUACCGCCAUUGCCACACCUUAACGUCAUGGAUAUUUCUAGGAAACCGAUUUGAUUAAGUCAUUUUUAAGAAAAGUGAUUAAUUUUGGAAAAUACUUUCAUUGCGGAAGCUUUGCUUGUUGUCGUGUUAUUUUGAAAUCAAUUGUUGUUUUUGAAAAUGCGCCCUAAAGCUAUCCAAAUUCAACAGUUAAAAUAAGUAAUACCUAUCUUAGUAAUACAUAUUAAAACCAUCAAAAAUAAUUAAGCGGCCUUAUUACAGUUAAAAACCCAAAACUUCAAACGUAAAUAAAAGGAUGUCCAGUUCACCAGAAGAAAAUCAAACUUUCAGAACGGGUGGCCACUCCGAAUUCCCUCACAACUCCAAGCCCACUAUGGUUGGGGAUUUCCUGCGUGGAUGAAAAUAAAAAGGGUGAGUUUGGGGAAACUCAGUGUGUAAGGAAAACCCAUUCAAAGCCCAAGUCAGCUCAAGCCCAUUGGGCCUAAGCCCAUUCAGGUAACAGUGGUACUGGGCCAGAGCCCUUUUCAGAUUACAAUAAACUGGGCCUUAGCCCCUUAUUCAGAUAACAGUAUGGCCCAUAGGCCCAUUUGGAAAUACAUGCAACAUCAAUAAACAUAUGCAAGCCCAUUUGGGGAGACUACUCAACCCACCAACCACUAUACUCCACCCGUACCAGCCAUACACUCCAUGUGGGGAAUAGCUCAACCCACCCAGCCUAACACUCCACAGUUGCAGCCUUGCUGCUCAGUUAACAGUAAAUUGAGGCAAAGCCUCUAGUAUGUGGACAAGCCACUUUCAGUACUUCCUCCGUCAAUAUCCCAAUCCCAUGCAUCAGAUAAUAACAACAUGGCAUGCAGUAAAUAACAACAGUCAAACAUGCAUUUAGGUCAAUUUAACCCUAGGGGUAUUUCGGUAAUUUAUCUCCUAGGGGUAAAACUGUAAAUUUUCCACUUUUAAAGGUAUUUCAGCAAUUUAUCUAUUUUAGGGUUUUUCAUGCAUAUUCCUACUUUUUACGUACUAACAGAAUCACGUACCGAGGGUUCUUACCGAAUUGGGCCUGUUGGCCCAUCAUUCCAAUUUUGGCCCAUUAUGCCCAAAAAUAUCGAGGGCACAGAAAUCAUGCACUUUGUAGUCCAAAUUUUGCAGCUUACCAAAAACAUUAAUCGAUUUACCUCACGAGCAUUCGCACACUCGCAAAUCUAAAAAAACACCGGUUUUUGGCAUUUCGGCUUUUCGACUUUUGCCGAUCCAGACUAAGAAAGAGGGUGUUAGUUACACACCUGUUUGCGACGAUAUGCUGACGAGAUCCACACACGAACUGCCUACAAUUGGAUUACUAACACGUUAAUCUAACUAUUCAAAUACAAACUACGUAUUAACCCCUUACAAUAUUCGGCCAACCACACCUACAGAUCAUAGUAAGCUUAUAAGAAAACAAUAAGCAACUCAUUAACAAAUUUUUGUCAAUGUUUACCACAUAAUCAUAAUUUCACUGCAAGCUAUCUUCCUGAGCAACAGUCACUAAAUCAUUUAUAACUGGAGCUACGAAACUCCUAAUUAAGUUCCAUUAAUUUUCCUUGAAAAUAGACUCAUAUAUAUUCUAUCCAUUAAAGUUUCAGAAUUUUUGGUUUAGCCAAUCAAUACCAGAUUUUUCUCAAAGUUUCCCAUGUUUCACUGUUUGACUAAUCUGACCACUCUUCAUUACGAAUCAAAUUUCUCAUUGUACAGAAUUCAAAAUAUGUUAUAUUUUAUUUCAUUAGAAACUAGACUUAAUAAUAUUUAAUUACAUAAUUUAUUCAGCUUCUAAUUCAUCUCCCACAAUUUAUGGUGAUUUUCCAAAGUCACGUUACUGUUGCUGUCCCAAGCAGAUUUAUUACCAAAUCACUCUUUCACACAUACCUUGCAUGCAUGUUAUUUAAACAUGUAUAUCACCAAUCAAUCAUCACAUAUCUAUGAUUUUACUUAAGUAUAAUCUCCAUUUCAUCAUUUUUAAGCACAACAUGUUAGCUGAUUUUUCCCUUUAACAUCUAAGGCACAUGCAUGCUCAUUUGUUUGGCUCAACUUCACCUAUCUUCCAUUUUUCAUCAAAAGAACAUGAAACAACAACCAUUUCCUUCAUUUUAAUUCAUGACUAAAUGCUCACAACACAACUAAAAAUCAAAAUAUACUUCAAGAGUUAAGGUAGAAUCAAGAAGAACUCAUGAACCUCAAAAUAGAAGCAAGGUACCAAGAACUUACCUUUAAUUUUCCUCCUCCUAAUGACCGAAUACUCAAGAGCUUUCUCCUCUCCUUUCUCUUCUCUAACUUUCAGCUAUGAUGAACAAAGAUGGACAAAACUUUGUUCUUUUCAUCCCUUUUUCUUUUAAUAAAACUUCAUAUUUCAUCCAUUUAAUUCUUUAAUACAAAAGACAUGAAAUUCUUAUCAUGAAACAUUUACCUAACCUAUUAUCAUGGAACAUUUACCUAACCUAUUAUCAAUUUGUAUCAAUUUGUACCAUAAAUUAUGGAUAUCAAGUGUACAUUUUGUCUACAACAACAUGAUGGCUGGCCACUUCAUGUAAAAUUGGAGGUUUGCCAUGCAAAUCCUCCUAUUUUGCACUCCUAUUUAUUUGGUCACUUCAAUUUAACCUAUAGCAUUUUCAAACAUUUUCACAUAGUUUCUAUUUCAUAAUUUCACCCCCUUUUUGUUAUGGAACAAAAAUUAACUAAAAUUGUCGAGUUUUAUCUUAAGUUUGGGCUUUCUAGAGGCCCACUAACAUAAUUAAACCUAUGCCAACAUUCACAGGAUUCCCGAAAAUUGGGGCGUUACAUCUCUACUCUCUUUCAGAGAGUUUUUCAAAGUUUGUUUUUAAAUAGUUUCUAAAAUGAAUUUUUGGGCCGAAAAUUGACUUAAAUAGUGUAAUUAGAACGGUGUCGUUUUACUUAAUCUAAUAAGUACCGAAACGGCACCGUUUAAGCCAAGAUCCGCGUGUUGACCCGAAACCCGGAUGAGAUCUGCGUGUUUUUAUUAAAUGGGCAAAUUGCUCAAUCGGUCCUUCCGCAUUUUUAAUCUUUAUAAUUUUAUUUUAUUUUAUUUUAUUUUAAUUCUGCCCUAAUCUUUUAUAUUUGUUUCAAUUUAAUCCUAACGGCCAUUAAAAUCCAUUCUGAAGAACGACGUCGUUUUGGGAUUAGGGCAAAUUGCCCAGUGAGUCCCUUGCAGUUUUAAACGCGUUCCAAUUAGGCCCAAACUUUUUUGUUAUUUUAAAAUCAGCCCUAGAACUUUAGUUUUAUUUAAUUUUAAUCCUUUUAAAUAUUGUUUUGCAUAAUUUAUUUAUUAAAUGCUUUAUAUAUUAUUUAUUUUUAUAAAUAUUAGUUAUAUAAAAUAUAUAUUAUUUUUAUUUAUAUAUAUUAUCCAUUAUAUUAUUUUUAUUAUUAUACAUUUUAUUUAUAAAUUAUAUUAUACAUUAUAUUUUACUAUAUAUUAUGCCUUACAUUUUUUUUCUUUUUCAAUUUAUAUUUAUUUAUAAAAUUAUUAUUCAUUAAUUGUGUAAAUUUUAAAUUUUUAAAAAUUAUUAUUAAAUAAUAAUAUAUAUGUUAUCCUUAUUUAUAUGAUAGUAUUUAUAUUUCAUUAUAUUUUAUUUAUAUAUUUUUUUACAUAUCAUAUUUUAUUAUAUAUUAUAUUAUAUACAUUUUAUUAUAUAUAUAUUCUUUUAUAUUACUUAUCAUAUAGUUUAUAUUAUUAUAUACUUUGUUUAUAAAUUUUAUUAUAUGCUAUAUAUUUUACCAAAUAUUAUUCCUUACAUUACUUUUAUUUUAUUAUAAAAUAUACAUUAUUUUAUUACUCAUUAACUACAUAUGUUUUUUUAUAUAUUAAAUAAAUAUGUGUAAUAUUACUAUUUAGCACAUUAUUUUUUAAAUAUAUACUAAGUUAUUAUAUUCUAUAACAUGAUUUAUAUAUUAAUCAAAUUUUUUUAAAAAAAGCGGUUCUCCAUUAUCAUUCUUAUAUUAUUUUAAAUAUUUUUAAAUAUCUCUAUUUUUAUUUCAUUUGAUUUACAUUUUAUAUGUUCAUAAUUUGUUUAUUUUUGUUUUCUUUUAUUUUGAUAUUGUUUUAGUAGGUUAAAUCUUCAUAGAUUAUUUGUUAUUUGAUGUUAUGGUUUUUAUAUAUUCGCGUGGAAUUAAUUAUUUAUGUUAAUUUAAGUUACAUUUGCAUAAAAUAUUAUCAUAUAUAUUGCAAUUUAUAUUUGUUGUAUUUAUUAUGCUCUACGUUGUAUUUUACAUGUAACGAUAAUGCAUGUACAUUUAUGUUAUUUAUGAUCACAUAUACAUAAGAUGGUAACGUAUAUUGUGUAAUUUAUGCCAUUAUUCAUUAUUUUUUUUAUUAUAUUUGCAUGGAAUGUUAAAGAAGAUAUUAUGUAGGUUAAUUUAUUUUAAUAUUAGUCCUUUGUAAUAUGACAAAUGCAUCAUCACUUUAAAGAACUUUUAUAUUUCAUUCGAUCCAAAAAAAUUUUAAAAAUAAGGUAAUGUUUUUGGUAUUUAGGAAUUCUGGAGGUAGUGCCCUAACAUGCUGGGUUGCGAUUUCCCGUUUGUCUAAAUACCUAAAAUAUCCUUCUAAAUAAGUUUUGAAAAUUACAAGAUGAUUUUAGUUUCAAAAGUUUAAAAAUAUCGUGUCCAAUCAUGCUAGAUAUGAUGUUUAUAUUCUUUCGAAGCCAAAGAAUCUAGAUUCUUUUUAACUCAAAUUAUUACGGUCUUAAAGAGAUUUUAUUUCUAAAUUCUUUCAAACAUUUGACAUUAAGACAAAAUUAUUCAAUUUGGUACCAAUUUUGGGCGUUAUGAGGGUGCUAAUCCUUCCUCGUGCGUAACUGACUCCCGAACCUAUUUUCUCGUGAUUUCGUAGACCAAAACGUUUUAUAAAGUGAUCUAAUCACACUUAAACUGAUUGAUGGCGACUCCCAUUCGUUUUCAUUUUUAAAAAAAAAAUCAGACCCCGUUUUCAAAAUACCCUCCCCUUUUAAAACGAUUUCGACAGCUGAUAUGAUCAGCCAUUACAUCCAUUACAUCAAAAAAAUCUUACUAACUUUGAUUACAAGUUACAAACCAACUAAAACAAGUUACAUUUGAACAGAAGAAACAAAAUGCUAAGGCUGCUUCUGGUUUGGCUUCAAUGCUGUCAAUUUUCAUGAGCUGCUGCUGGUCCAAUGUUUCAUUGCAGGCCAAUGCUUAACACUCCUCCUUGGACUGUAUGCAGUAUACACCAAUCUUGCUUCUUAAAGCCUCGAACCUUGUUGCACCAAGUGGCUUACUCAAAAUAUCAGCCAAUUGGACUUGUGAGCUGCAAUGAAUAAGGCUAACUUCUCCUGUCUGCUCAGCCUCUCUAACAAAAUGAAAUUUGAUUUUGAAAUGCUUAGUCUUGCCAUGAAAGACUAGAUUUUUAGCUAUGGCAACUGCUGAUUGAUUGUCAAUCAUAAUCUCAGUAGCUCCACUUUUUUCUUCAUUCAAAUCAAACAAAAACUUUCUGAGCCAAAUGGCUUGAUUCACUGCUGCUGCUGCAAUGUAAUUUGCUUCAGCUGUGGAUUGAGCAAUUGUUUGUUGCUUCUUUGAGCUCAACAAAAGGCUCCUGAACCAAGGGUGAAGAAGUAACCCGAGGUGCUUUUCAUGUCUUCUAAGGAUUUAGCCCAAUCACUAUCUAAGUAUCCAAUUAGCCUAAGCUCAUUUUCCUUCUUAAACAUGACACCAAACUUCAAGGUUCCCUUAACAUACCUGAGUACCCUUUUUGAUGCCUUGAAAUGAGAUGUGUCACAACAAUGCAUGAAUCUUGAUAAUAGACUAACAGCAUGCAUGAGAUCAGGUCUGGUUGCUGUCAAGUAAAGUAGACAACCAAUUAGGCUUUUGUACUCCUCAUCAACCCUCUCUUGACUUUCAAAGCUGGUCAGCUUCUCUCUUUGGGCCAUUGGUGUGCUCACUGAUUUACAAUUAGACAUGCAAAACUUGUCUAGGAUCUUCAGGGCAAAAGCAUGUUGGCUAAUGAAAAUGCCAUAAUCAGACUGAUUCACUUCCAUCCCAGGGAAGUAUGUCAUAAUUCCCAAGUCUGUCAUAUCAAACACUUCCUCCAUUUGUGUCUUGAAGUCUUUGAUCAAAUCAGUCUUGCUUCCAGUUACCAACAGAUCAUCCACAUAAAUUGAAACAAUCAGCAAGGUUUCAUCUUCAGCUUUCUUCACAUAAAGUGUUGGUUCACUCAGACUUUUCUCAAAUCCAAGCCUAGACAGAUACUCAUCAAUUUUGUCAUACCAGGCUCUAGGUGCCUGCUUCAAGCCAUACAGAGCCUUUUUUAGCCUAUAGACUUUGUCUUCCUUCCUUAAAACUUUGAAUCCAUCUGGCUGCUCGAUGUAAAUCUCUUCAUUUAGAAAACCAUUUAAAAAAGCUAAUUUGGCAUCAAGUUGAUGAAGUUUCCACUGUUUCUAGGCAGCCAAGGCAAACAAUAGCUUGAUUGUGUCAAGCCUUGCUACUGGAGCAAAUGUCUCCAUGAAGUCAGUGCCAUACUCUUGACUAUAGCCCUUCACCACUAGCCUUGCCUUGUGCUUGUUCAAUGUGCCAUCAGCAUUGAAUUUGGCUCUAAAAACCUACUUGACACCUAUGACUUUCUUCUGGUCUGGCCUAUCAACCAAGUCCCAUGUCUCAUUCUUCUUGAUCAUGUCAAGCUCAGCUUUCAUUGCCUUUUUCUAGCAUCUAUCCCUUACAGCUUUUUCAUAGCUCGAAGGCUCAAAUAUUGCUACAUUGCAUCUAUGGUAGAUGUCAGCAAUGGUUCUGGUUCCUCUUACAGGAGAAUCAUUAACAUCAGCAUUUUCAGUUUCACUUUCAGCUGGCUCUAAGCUAAUGUCAAACUGGUCUUCAUCAAACUGACUUGCAUCUGAACCUUCCCAACUCCAGACCUUCUCCUCAUCAAAUUUGAUGUCCUUUCUCACCAGAAUCCUUUUUGUUGAGGGAUAAUACACUCUGUAGCCCUUUUUGGUACUGCUAUAGCCAACAAAUAUACUAGGAGCAGACCUUCUUUCAAGUUUGGUUCUUCUUUCAACUGGAAUGAGAACAUAACAUACACAUCCAAACACUUUCAGAUGUGAACCUGAUGGUUUAAGUCCAUACCAUGCCUCAAAAGGUGUUUUGUCCUUCACAGCUCGAGUAGGAGGCUUGUUGAGUAGAUAUACUGAGGUAUUGACAGCCUCAGCCCAAAAUGUACCUGGAAGUUUACUUUGAAACAGCAAACAUAUGGCCUUGUAUGGCUUAAAACAGGUACCAAGAGCUUGGUAUGAUAGGAUCGACAGCUACCUAGCUAGCUUGGGGUUUAAGAGAAGCAUCAAUGAGCCUACUUUGUAUGUGAAGAAAGAAGGUGUUGAAACACAGCUCAUAGUGUCCUUGUAUGUUGAUGAUCUACUGGUAACAGGAAGCAAUAAUGUCAUGUUGGCUGAUUUCAAAAAGAAAAUGGAAAAGAUGUUCGAGAUGUUAGAUUUGGACAAAUGUCCUACUUUCUUGGCAUGGAAGUGUCUGAACUUAAGCAAUGAAUCUUCUUAAGUCAGAAGGCUUUUGCCUUAAAGAUUCUGAACAAAUUCUCUAUGCUGAAUUUCAAAGCAACAACCACACCAAUUGCUGUUAGAGAAAAGCUAUCGAGUCAAUGAGAUUUUGAGAAGGUUUGUGAAUCAACCUACAGAAGUCUAGUUGGAUGCUUGCUCUAUUUGACAGCUACUAGACCAAAUAUCAUAUUUGUUGUGAGUCUGCUAUCUAGAUUCAUGCAUUACUGCAAUGAUAAGCAUUUUCAAGCUACCAAAAGAGUUAUCAGGUACAUCAAAGGUACACUAACCUUUGGAAUGAAGUUCACCAAGGUUUAUGGCAUAAAACUGCUUGGUUAUGCUAAUAGUGACUAGGCAUCCUCGUAAUAUAAUUGUGCAAUCAAUUUUUUUUUUAAUUUUUUUGUUGCAAUCAAAAACCAUUUUAUUUAUUUUUAAUAACUUAUAAAAUUGUUAAAUUGGUGGUAAUGUUGUGGUUAAUUACUAAAAUGUAAUGUUGUGGGUAACUUGCAUUGCAUCCUGCUUUAUUAAUUAUUUCAAAUUUUUUAGUAUGUUAAUAUUGUGGUUAAUUACUAAAUUGUAGACUGGUUUUGAAAUUAUCACUUAUCUUUCUAAAAUUUUGUUUCUGUAUUAUACAGGCCAUAAAAUUGAUGCGAAAAUGAAAGAGUUAGGAGAGGGCAUGGUUAAACACUGUGUAAUAACUCAAAUUUACCCAAGCCCAUAAUUAAGAAAAUAAAACCGAAAACAAAAAAAUAAUAAAUAAAUGAAUGUUUAUUUUUAAACAGUCCAUUUACAAUAGCCCGUAGAUCCAAAACCAGAACUACCCAGCAGACCCAUUUACACCCUACCCCUAAUACCGUAAACUAGCCCAGUAACCCAAGACUUAAUCGGCCCAAAUGGCCUAACCUAUUUUCAGCUUCUGAGGAACCCUAGCUAGGGUUCAUGCCGCAAAGUUUCCUCGAGAUUGUAGCCAACAUCAGCCUCGUUUUGCGCCACGAUCAACGCGUCUGUUCGUGUCCCGUCGUUCCAGUUACCCACCAUCAGAGUCGAGAUUGCAGGCUUCGAAUCAGGCCGUGGUCUACGGCCAAAUCAACGCCGGUGGUCUACAUUCCUCAUGAACACCUACAAAAAGAGAAAGAAAUAGUAGCAAACAAACAAAACAAAUAUGGAAAGGAAUAAAAGAUUUUUCCCCAAAAUAUGUAACAGAAACAGUGGCUAUAAAAGCCUCCUUUGUAACUUGUAAACGGACGGAGAUUUUUAACGAGGAAUACAAAAGCCAAAUACAUACAGUUUCUUAAAGGUGAUAUACCUUUACCUUUUCAUUUUUUCCCUAAAUACAUGCAAAUACCAUUAAAAUAAAUAAAAAACGAAUUUACCUUUGAAAUCGCUUCGAAAAAUCGAGACUUUGGGCUUCCGACCGCCGUGCGAGGCGGAGUCGACGACGGCGCGUGAGUUCGAUGACCGGGGAUCGGCUCGACGGAGGCCGGAGCCCGGAAGACUGCUCUCUACUCUCUUUCGGAGAGCUUUUCAAAGUUUUUUUUUAAAAAAACAAUAACUAAAUGAAUUUUAGGUUUAAGUUCUGAUAUAUAUAGCAGUACAAAACGGUGUCGUUUUGGCUUAGUUCAAUAAGCACUAAAACGGCACCGUUUCAAUAGGGGAUCCGCGUGCUGACCCGAUUACCCGGGGAGAAUUCGCGUGUUUUUGUAAAAUGGGUUAAUUACCCAAUUGGUCCUCUCGCAAUUUUAAUAUUUAUAAUUUCAUUUUAUUUAUUUUUUAAUUUAGCUCUAAUGUUUAAAUUUUGUUUCAAUUUGGUCUUCACAGUGCUUUAAAAUUUAAUUUGGGGAAACAGUGUCGUUUUGGGAUUAGGGCAAUUUGCCCAAUGAGUCCCUCGGUUUUAACACGCAUUCCAGAAGGCCCAAAUUUUUUUAUUAUCUAAAUUAGCCCUAAAACUUUAAUUUUAUUUCAUUAUAGUCCUUUAAAUAUUUUUUAUAAUCUAUUAAAUACUUUUAUCUAUAAAUAUUAAUUAUAAAAAAUAGUAUAUACUAUUUUUAUAUAUUGUUUAUUAUAUUAUUUUUUACUUAUAAAUUAUAUUUAUUUAUAUAUUUUAUAUAUAUUAUUUUUAAAAAAAUUAUGUAUUAUUAUUUAUUAAUUGUGUAAAUUUUAGUUUUUAUUAAAUAAUAGUAUAUAUAUUAUCCUUCAUUAUAUUUACAUUUUAUUACAUAUUACAUUUUAUUAUAUAUAUAUUUUUAUAUUACUUAUUAUAUGGUUUAUAUUAUUAUAUAUUUUGGUUAUAAAUUAUAUUAUACACUAAAUAUUUACUAUAUAUAUAUUAUCAUUUACAUUACUUUUAUUUCAUUAUAAAAUAUAUACUAUUUUAUCACUCAUUAGUUAUAUAUUUUUUUUACUAAAUAAGUAUGUGUAAUAUUAAUAUUUAGUACAUUAUUAAGGUAUUAUACCCUAUAAUAUGGUUUAUAUAUAUUAAUCAUUUUUUUGGGUUUUCGUUUAUUAUUUUCAUAUUAAUCUAAAAUUUAUGAAUAUCUUUAUAUGAUUUAUAUUUCAUAUGUUUAUACUUUGCUUAUUUUUUCAUAUUUCGUUAUUGUUUAGUAAAUUAUUUGUUAUUGUUUUUACAUAUUUGCAUGGAAGUUAAUUAUUUAUAUUAAUUUAAGGUACAUUUGCAUGAAAUGUUGUUAUAUAUAGGUGUUAUGUAAUUUAUAUUAUUAAAUUCAUUAUACUCUAUGUUGUAUUUUUGCAUGUAACAAUAAUGCAUGAACAUUUUUUAUGAUGACAUAUGCAUAAAGUGAUAAUAUAUAUUGUAUAAUUUACACCAUUAUUUAUUACUCUUUAUACUAUAUUUGCAUAAAAUUAUAAAGCAUGUACUAUAUAGUUAGGUUUAUUAAAUGUUAAUUUCUUGUAAAAAUGUAAAAUACAUCAUUAUUUUCAAAGCAAAAAUAUCUCAUUUCAAAAGGAAUUUUCUAAAAAAGUGAGGCAAUGUUUUGAUAUUUAGGAACUCGGGAAGUAGUGCCCUAACAUGCUGGGUUGCGAUUUCUCGUUUGUCUAAAUAUCUAAGAUAUCCUUUUAAAACGAGUUUUACAAAUCAAAAGAUGAUUUCAGUUACGAAAGUUUAAAAUAUCAUGUCCAAUCAUGCUGGAUGUGAUGUUUGUACUCUUUUAAAAACAAAGGAAUCUUGAUUCUUUUCUCAAAACAUUACGGCUUUAAGGGAAUUUCAUUUUGAAAUUCUUUCAAACUUCUGACACUAAGAUAAAAUUAUUCAAUUUGGUACCAAUUUUGGGCGUUACGAGGGUGCUAAUCCUUCCUCGUACAUAACUGACUCCCGAACCUAUUUUCUCAUAAUUUCGUAGACCAAAACGUUUUAUAAAGUGAUCCAAUCACACUUUAAAAGAUUGGUGGCGACUCCCAUUUUCGUUUUUCAAAAUCUGUUUUUAAGGAGGUUUCGACACACUGUGCUGGGCUUCCAUUAGCCAUCAUUAUAUUGGGAGGAAUUUUGGCUACAAAGUAUCCUUCAUUAACUGAAUGGCUGAAGGUAUCUAUAAAUGUGAAAUCAUACUUCAAGAUCGAUAAAGGUCAAGUACUAAAAGAUGUGUUAGCAUUAAGUUAUGAUGAUUUGCCUCCCUAUUUAAGACCAUGUUUCCUUUAUUUAAGCCAAUUUCCCGAGGAUUAUGAGAUACCUGUGGAUAUAUUGAUUCAGUUAUGGAUUGCCGAAGGUAUUGUUUCAUCAAAGCAAGAAGAAGGAGAUGAAAGGCUAAUGGCGGAAGAUGUGGCUAAAGGUUAUUUAAUGGAUCUUGCAGAAAGAUGUAUGAUUCAAGUACGAGAAAGAGACAUUCCAACCUUAAAGAUGAGAAGUUUUCAGAUGCAUGAUCUAAUGAGAGAUGUUUGCUUGUCAAAAGCUAAACAAGAAAAAUUCUUCGAUAUUGCUGAUCAGUCAAAUGCCUGCCAGUUAUCCACAAUUGGGAGGGUUCGUAGAGUUUCUGUCCACAAAUUUAUUUCCUUACAGUGCAUUAAAAGUCCACGUCUUCGAAUACUUUUGCUCUUUGAUGAGUUUUUACCCAAAGAGGAACACGAAAAGCUUUUGCCAUUGACAAUGCGAAGCUACUACGACAACCACGAAGAUGAACUUUUCAAUCCACUGGUUUGGUUUGUGAUGCUUUUAGGAGUUAGCAUGCUAAGUAUUAAAUACAUGGGACUUUGGAAAAAUAUGUUCAAUAAUUUUAAUUUUCUUAGAGUCUUAGACUACGAAAAAGGACGAGGUGCAGGAUACAAGUUACCCAAAGACAUUGGUAAACUCGUCCAUUUAAGAUUAUUGAGUCUAAGGGAUCUUGAGUUCCUACGGUCAAAGUUGCCUUGCCAUCAUCUCUAGGCAACUUAAGGUGCUUGCAAACAUUGGAUUUAAGAAUGGAAAACCGGUUGUAUUCGGGAUUGUUUCAUGUACCUAACGUGUUAUGGAGGCUGCAUCAACUAAGACAUCUAUAUCUCCCCAAGCAAUGUAGUCGUAAAACAAAGUUGAAUUUGGGUACAUUGAGAAACCUCCAAACGCUCGUCAACUUCAACACCAAGAAUUGUUAUGUAAAGGAUCUUAUCAACUUGACAAAUAUUAGAGAGUUGGAGAUUCGAGGGCCCUUCAAUAUUGAAGAUUUUAACACGGAGGAGUUGGAGAAGAAUCCACCUAUCAUCCAAAGCAAAUAUCUUCAUUCCCUGUCUAUUAUCAAUGAUGAAGGAAGAAUGGAUCCAAGACAUUUGGUGCACCUCCUUUUGAGUUGCGAAAACAUUUCUAAGUUGAACUUAGAUGUGUAGAUAAGAAGGUUACCAGAGUACCACUACUUGUCUUCAAAUCUCGCUUACAUAAAGUUGAUAAGGUGCAAGCUUGAGAAAGAUCCAAUGGCAACACUUGAGAAGCUGCCUAACUUAAGGAUUCUUGAAUUCCAUCCCAGAGCUUUCAUAGGAAACGAAAUGUUGUGCUCUACACAAGGUUUUCCCAAACUUGAGUCUCUAAGCCUUGUGUGUCUUCCCAAUUUGGAGGAGUGGAAGGCGGAUGAAAGGGCGCUGCCUUGUCUUCGGCGAAUGGAGAUAGAAAACUGCAGACAACUAAAAAAGCUUCCAGAUGGACUGAGGUUCAUUGCAACCCUCCAAGAACUAAAGAUUGAAUCAAUGCCAAAGACAUUCAAAGAUAGAGUGGAGGAAGGAGGAGAAGAUUUCUGCAAAGUCCAACACGUUCCUUCUAUCAUAUUCCAAGACUGCAAGUGAUAGUAAUUAUCAUUAAUGCCAGGUAAUUCAUUAUUUUUUUUAAGGAAAUACUUAACCCUUUUGUUUGUAUAUAAAAAUCCACAACUAUUUUUUAUGUUUACAUUCUUUCUCAAGCAGCUAAUAAUUUAGAGAAGAUUUAAGCUUCGGUUCUUAUCCUCUGUUUUUAACAAUGUUUCAUAUUUCCAGAGGAUUUGCCAUUUAAACUAAAAGUGAGAAUAUGUUGUCAAUAGGGUGUUAAGCAUUUUGGUGAUGGUCAGCAGAUGCAAUUUGAAAUACUGACAUUGUCUCAUAUUUGAAGGUGUCCUCCAACAUGAUUCACAGCUGUUACAUUUUAAUUAGCAUAAAGAUUCUUCUAUCAUAUGAUGUAUAUGUCACGGAAUUUCAACUACUUUCAUAUGAUAUUACCAUUUUUAAUUCCUCUUCAAGUACAGAAGCCAUUGCCAUUUUUUUGUUUUUGUUUUUGCUGCUGCUCUUCAUGGGACCAUAUAUCUAUACAUAUUUAAAAAUUGUUCUUUUUACAUGAAACAGUAAUAUUAUGUUCGUGUCUAUUCUUAGAAGAAAAAUGUGAAUCCAUCUCAUCGUAUUAUUUCAGAAAUUCUAAUAAAAAGAGACUUGUCACUUUUAUAAAAAUAUAGCCUUUAUUUUAAAUACCAACGGUUUGAAAUUAUUUUCCAAUUUAUAAAAAUGAGCAACAUUAAUUAUCAAGCAAUUCCAACCAAAGCAGUUCAUCCUGCAUACCAAAGCCAGAGUUACUACUUUAUCUUAUGUAAGUGUUAUUCCACAAUAUCAGUCAUUUGCAAUCAAUCUUAAAAACAUGGCUUGGUUAUGCAAUUGUUAGACAGCAUCCUGGUAAAAAAAAAAACAUUGUUACAUUAGCAAUCAAUCAUUAUUGAAGAGAAAACAAAAGUGAAAAUCAUGUGAUUAGCAAUCAAACAUUGUUACAUCAGCAUGUUUUAGGAUAUCAAAAAUGCAUCAAACAGAUAAGCCAAUUAUGUACUCAUACAUCAUUUUGUUCAUGUUUAAGCAUGUAUAUGUUUGUUGGUAGAACAUGAAGCAUACAGGUUUAAGGAACUAGAAGAGCUUGGGAUAGUUUUCAGCGAGGAUGAGAAAGAAGUUUGAAAACAGAGAAUAUAAGAAGACUCUUCAAUACUGAAGAAAAGUAAAGAAGUAAAAAGCACCUGAAGCUGUAGUGCCUAAGAACGACAGCUGUGGAAAUAAUUUGGCACAGUCAAAAUGCUUAUAGUCAAUUCGAACCAGUUAUGACAUUAAUGAAUCUGAAAAGAAAACACCAUUACUAAUACAUAAAAUGAUCACAUAUUAGAAAAUAGAAGAAUGCAUCGGAUCCACUAAUAACAAGUGCCACAUGGUUAUCAUUUAAACCUCUAUAAGAAAAUGGUUAGAAAAAGACAGUUUUACUUACCUGCCGAAAUAUUUGAAGAACAUCCGAGGUAGAAAAGAACGGGAAAUAGUAAAUAUGCGUCGUGAUUCCAUGAUCCUUCUUGUGUAGGCUAGCCAAUUAAAUCAAAUUGUUUUAGACAAAUACAAUUUUGCAUGGAAAGUGAUUUAAAGAAAGAAAAUGCAUCUUAGAGAAUAGUUUAUUUUACACCGCUAAUUAGAAUGAGAGAUAUGAACAAUUACCUUAACAGAAAUGAUAGCAUGAUCAAGAAGGGGAAGAAGAUUACGGUGACUAAACGGAUCUCCUCCCGAACCAAUUCUAACUGUUCAUUAUUCUGAAUGAGAACUUUCUUCAUUGCAUAAGUUCCAUCAUCUGCAAAUGCAACCCAAGUAAGUUCAUUCCAAAACCAAAUUAAUUUUCCCUUUGAUCUGAUGAAUACACAAAUACCAAAAUAACACGAUAAAAUCUGGCAGAUGGCAUAGCAGAUGUCACCAUCCUAGAUAAAAUCCCCUAGCAAAAAAAAAAGGUUAGCAAAUCCAUUUAAGAUGUAAAUUCAGAUAAUAAGACGGAAAAUGCAAAGCUCAUCUAUUGUAAAUUAAAAUUAGGCAGUAACUAAUUGAAAAUUCGAUGAACAAAAAAAGAGGGGAAAUCAUAGGACCGCCAUUUUCCAAGUGUAAAUAAAUUGGGCAGGGAGCGCAUAAAGCACUCAUUUCGGAUUAUAGUUUACUACUACAACAUGAUUUUGAGGUUUGUGAAACUGAUCAAAUCCAAUAUAUAUGAAACGGAAACAACAAAGGAGGAGAUGAGAUCGAGCCAGAUCUGGCAAUACCUUCAAGGAUUGUGAGAAGAGCAAUCGCAAAGGCAAGGUGGGCAAGUGUUGGAAGUGUGGUUGAAGGCUACUAAUCCUUCCAUGAAAUGCCAAUACAGAGGUGGACCCACCUUCAACGCCACCUUCUGGUUCACUGCCAUCUCUUCUAUCUCAGAGUCUAACUGGAAACUAAAUCAAGACUGCUGCUGGAGAGUUUCUUGAUUGAAAAGAGCAACGGAGAGGCCAUUUAGGGGGAAAAAUUAGGGGUUUCAGAGGGGGAAAAUUUGGGGGUAAAAAAGCGCUCUUUUGUUUUAAGUGAAAUGAUUUUUUUGCGUUAUUGUUAAUUUUUUGUGGCAUUUUUCAUAAAAAUGCCACCACAAAUUAUUUCAUUUUAAAUAAAACGACACCGUUUUGCUCUGUUAAAAGUUUUUUUAUUUUAUCUGUUAAAAAUUAUUAGUUAAAUAAUUUUAUAAAAUAUUUAUUAUUACUAUUUUUUAUAAAUUAGUUUUUAUAAAUAAAAAAGUCAAGUACUCUAAAAAUAAAUAUCGUGUAUUUUAAUAAGAAAAUAAAUAAUUAAAUGGUUGUAAUUAAUUAUUAAGUUAAAAUUAUCCAAUGUAAGCAAUCAAUCUCUCACAUAUCAAAUUUCUAUUAAAGAUUGAGACGUUAAUCAUGAUUUUAUAUUAUUCUUUUCCGAUCUAAUCUCCAUUUCAUUAGAGAUAUUUCUUCCUAACUUAAAUAUAACUAUUUUGCUAGAAUUUGAUGUGGAAUGAUUUUAGUUUUUGUAUUUCAUUUUUAUUUGUUAUAAUCUGGUCCUAUCCAAAAUAAAUAGUUACCUAUCCAUAUCAAUCUGUUACUUUUUUUAUUUAUUUAUCAAUUUUUUUAAAUAUAAUAUUUAAAUAUAUCAAAUGGUUUAGAUUAAAUAUUUUUAAAUAUAAAAGUAUUAAUUGAUUGUAAAAAAAUUUAUCAUUUAACAAAUCUUAAGUAAACCUUAAAUCCUAAACCAUUUAAUAUAUAUAAAGUUUAUCUAUUAUCUCUUAAAUAAUUUAAACUAUAAUCAUAAUUUUAAUAUAUUAAAAUUAAUAUUAUCUUUUUUACAAUUAUAUAAUAAAUUAUUUAAUAUAUAAAUUAAAAAAAUACUAAUUAAUCUAAACCCUAAAUCCCUAACCUCUGACCCCUAAACCUUAAAUCAUAAAACAUAAACCCUAAACCCCUAAACCUUAAACCUUAAACCCCAACCCCUCUAAAACUUAAACCCUAACCCUUAACCCAUAAACCAUAAUCCAUAAAACCAUAAUCUAUAAACCUUAAAAUAGUAACUCAUAAACAUUAAACUCUUAACCAUAUACCAUAAACCCUAAACUAUAAUGAUAAUUAAUUCAAUAUUUUAAAAUUAAUACUAUCUCUUUUACAAUUAUAUAAGAAAAUAUUUAACAUAUAAAUUAAAAAAUAAUUAGUCAUAUAAAAUGAUGUUAUAUCAAUAAUUGUGUUCAUAAUUUAUGCUUUUGGGAUUUAACCCAUUGCACACUAAACCAUUGUUCAUGUAUACUUUUGGGAUUUUACCCAUUUUGAUAUAUAUAUAUAUUUCUAAAAUAAUAAUUUAUAUUUAUCUUAUUUAGAUUUACAUUAUAAAAAAAUCUAAGAUACACAAGUUAAGUAGUUUACCAUAUUUACCUCUAAACCCCAAACCCCAAACUCUAGGCCCUAAACACUAACCCAUAACCCAUAAACUAAAUUAAUUUUUUUGCAGCGUUUUUCCAAAAGCGCCGCUAAAACCUCGAUCUAUAACGGCGUUUUUCCAAAAGCGCCUCUAAAAACUGAGCAAUAGCGGCGUUUUUCCAAAAGCGCCGCUAAAACCUCGAUCUAUAGUGGCGUUUUUGCAAAAGCGCCGCUAAAAACUGAACAAUAGCGGCAUUUUUUCAAAAGCGCCGCUAAAAUCUCGAUCUAUAGUGGCGUUUUUCCAAAAGCACCGCUAAAAAUUGAGCAAUAGCGGCGUUUUUUAAAAAGCGCCGCUAAAAGCUCGAUCUAUAGCGGCGUUUUUUCAAAAGCGCCGCUAUUGUUUAGUUUUUAGCGGCGUUUUAACUAAAAACGCCACUAUUGCUCUAUUUAAACGCCACUAUUGCUCAGCUUUUUGCAGCGUUUUAAUGCAAAUGCCACUAUUGUAUAAUAUUUGCGGCGUUUUUUCUCCAAACGCCACUAAAAACGCCGCUAAAGCCCAAUUUUCCUGUAGUGAAUUUACGAUAGUGAGAUUGAAAGUAUUGCUCGCAGAAAUCAUAAAGAAGCAAGUCAGAGUCGACAAAAUCUAGUAGACGAACAAGAGGAUAUUACAAUUACCGAGGAGAUGGGUGAUAAUCAAAAUAUUCAACGACCUCUUACAACUGCAACUCUUGUUCCUCAUACUAUGUAUGAUUAUGCCAAGCCCACUUUGUCUGGGGCUGAAUUGAGUAUUGUGAGACCAACCAUUACUGCAAAUAAUUUCAAACUGAAGCCAAAUACAAUUCAUAUGGUACAACAGUUUGUUCAGUUCGAUGGUUUGUAUGACGAAGAUCCAAAUACUCAUUUGGCAAUUUUUUUAAAAUUUUAUGAUACUUUCAAAAUUAAUGGCGCCACUAAUGACGCCAUUCGCUUACAGUUAUUCCCUUUCUUGUUGAUUAACAAGGAAAAGUAAUGGUUUAACUCUUUACCAUGAGGUUCCAUCACAUGGGCGCAAAUGACCGAGAAAUUCCUUCUGAAGUACUUUCCACCGGCUAAGACAGAUAUCUUUUCCUUUGUUCAGGUCGACCUAGAGACUCCAUAUGAUGCACGAGAGAGGUAGAAAGACUUAUUGAGAAGGUGCCCUCACUAUAGGUUACCUUUAUGGCUACAAGUUCAAACCUUCUACAACGGUUUGAAUCCCUCAACUAGGCAAUUAAUCAAUACGGCAGCUAGUGGAACCUUAAACAAUAAAACACCCGAAGUAACUUAUGAAUUUAUUGAAGAGAUGGCACUAAAUAAUUAUCAAUGGCAAGUCAUGAAGACAAAGCCGAUGAAAGCAGUCAGUGUCUUUAAUUUAGAUGCUGUCACCAUGUUAUCGAAUCAGGUAGAACAAUUAAAUAAGAAAAUUGAUGGUUUAUAUCUUUCUAUGCAAGUACAUCCGAUGAAGCAAUGCGACAUAAAUGAUGGUGGAAUUAAUAACCCAGAAUGUUUACCUUUUGGUCCUAGCACAGAAAAUGAGCAAGUUAAUUAUAUGGGUAAUAAUUUUAGGCCUCAAAGUAACCCUUAUAGUAGUAACUAUAAUGUAGGUUGGAGGAAUCAUCUCAAUUUCUCUUGGGGUGGUCAAGAGAAUCAGAUAGCACAACCCUCUUUGGGCUUCCAACAACUAUCUUAUCAGCAAAAGAAGAAGUCAAACCUUGAGGAGAUGUUGACAAAUUUUUUCUUAAUGUCAAAAACUAGUUUCCAAAACACUGAGGCAGCACUAAAAAAUCGACAAGCAUCAAUUCAAAGGCUCGAGAAUCAAAUAGGUCAGCUUGCUAAGUUAAUUUCGGAAAGACCAUAAGGUAGAUUGCCUAGCAAUACUGAAACUAACCCAAUAGAGUAGCUUCAUGCAAUUAUUAUUCGAGAUAAAGAAGGGUUAGUUGAAUCUGAACAAAAAUCGAGGCAAGAGAUUGUGAUGAAUAACGAUAAAGUUUAGGUAAGCUAAAAAGAGCAAAAGUCAGUUGUCAAAGAAUAUAAACCUCGAGUGCCAUAUCCUAACGUGACGAAGAGAGACCACACGAGCGAAUAAUUUGGUAAAUUUGUUCCAGCUCUCCAGGAACAGUUUGGGUCUUCUAGAUUUUUAGAUCCCAUGACUAAACUUGUUGCCCUGAAACAAAUGAGCACGGUUGUGCAAUACCAUGAUCAAUUUGUAACUCUCUUGAACCAACUGCACUUUCCUGAGAGUUAUGCAUUGAGUAUAUUUGUUCAUAACCUUAAGUCUGAGAUUGACCAAUAUUUACGAUUGUUUAAACCAACAACCCUGGAAGAAGGAUUAAUCAUUGCUUUACAAAUGGAGGAUAUUGUCAGCACUGUCUCUCCAAACAUGUUUCUGUAAUGGGGAACUCUAGUUGGUCUAAACCCUUAUUUCCUUAAACUAAAACUUACAACAAUGCUGGGAAUGCCCUUGUGACUAAAGGCCAACUUCUUAAUUUGCCUAGUACCAAAGGCCCUAUUGAGGCCCUCUAUCAGUCUUAAAUGGAUGACAAUAUAAAAAAAUAACUCUAUUUUUGGUGUGCCUUGAAAUAUGCUCCAGGACACAAAUGUGUUAAAUCCUAAUUAUAUCAAUUGGUGAUUAAGGAGGCUUCUAGUGUACCAACCAAUGAGUUAAUUAGUCUUUCAUCGGAGGAUUUCCAAGACUACCCUAAGAAAUUAGAAACCACAGAAGGGGAAGUUGACUCAGUAGCAGUAGUAUUAUCACUACAUACUCUCAAUGGGUCUCAAGGUCAUAACAUCAUGAGGUUAGUAGCUUGAAUUGGACACUUGGAGGUCAUCAUUCUUGUUGAUUCUGGUAGCACUCACAAUUUUAUUGAUUCUCGAAUGGUGAGAAGGUUGCAACUACCAAUGGAUUCUUCUUGUAAACUCAAAGCCAUAGUAGCAAAUGGUGUACAUUUAGCAACUCAAGGGGUCUAUUGAUCUGUGAGCUGGGAGGCACAAGGGUAUACAUUUUCCACCAACUUCUUGGUUUUACCUAUCAAAGGGUGUGAUUUAGUCUUUGGGAUUCAAUGGCUUUUGCCUUUGGGGUCUAUUGUGUGGAAAAUUUUCCUUUCUAACCAUGGAAAUUGAACAUUUGAAACAAACAUGUGUUCUCCAAGGAAUUCUUCUUGGCAGCCUUCAGCUAUUAUCUAGAACACAAUUAUCCAAGUGUUUCAAUUGGUAAGGACAGGGUCCUAGUCCCAUGUUACUUCCUACCACUGUUCAAGUUGUUUUAUCAUUGUCAUUUCAGUCAUUGCAUCAGGACAUUGAGCUGAUCCUCACUGAGUUCGAUGAUGUUUUUCAAUUCCCUACUGGACUUCCACUUGUCCGAAACUAGGACCACAAAAUUCCUUUGAAUGAUGAGUCUCAAGUGGUCAAGAUCAAGCCUUAUCAAUACCCUACAGUCCAGAAGAAUGAGAUCGAAAAACUACUAUCGAAAAUGUUGCAAGCUGGGAUUGUAAAGGACAUCUACAGUCCAUUUGCUCCACCAAUUGUUCCGGUAAAGAGUAAGGAUGGAAGCUGUCAUUUAUGUGUGGAUUAUAGGCAGCUCAACUAGCUGACUAUAAAGGACAAAUUUCUAAUACCAAUAAUUGAGGAGCUACUUGAUGAAUUGGGACAAGCUGCUUAUUUCUCAAAAUUGGAUUUACAUUUUGGUUAUCACCAAAUCUGCAUGUGGGAGGGUGACAUUCAUAAGAUUACAUUUCGCACUCACGAUGGUCACUAUGAAUUUUUGGCCAUGUCAUUUGGCUUGACCAACACACCCUCUAGUUUUCAGUCCUUAAUGAACAAAAUUUUCAAGCCUUUACUGAUAAAGAUAGUGUUAUUUUUUUAUGAUAUUUUGGUCUGCUUGACCAAUUGUACUAAGCAUUUGGGGCAUCAGUUGUAUGCUAAGAAAGGAAAAUUUUCAUUUGGCACAACUUAGGUGGAAUAUUUGAGACAUAUCAUUUCUGCAUGGGUAGUUUUUAUAGACACUACAAAAAUCGAAUGAGUUAUUCAUUGGCCUUCCCCAACUUCAGUCAAGGACUUAAGGGGCUUCUUGGGCCUAUCUAGCUAUUACAGACGAUUUAUAAGGUACUAUGGGGUAAUAGACAAACCAUUAACAACUUUAUUAAAGAAGGAGAUCCAUUGGUAGUGGUUUGACAGUGCUCAGACAACUUUUGGUCAGCUCAAGGCAGCAGCCACUCAAGCACUAGUUUUGGUCCUACUAGAUUUUAAGGAGGAAUUCUGUGUUGAAACAGAUGCUUGUGGUUAGGGGAUAUGGUUGUAUUACAAUAGAAGGGUCAUCCCAUUGCCUAUUUCAAUAAGAGGUUAGGCAUCAGGCAUCAAGCCUUGUCCAUUUAUGACAAGGAAAUGUUAGCAAUUUUGCUAGCUUGAAAGAAAUGACAUCCCUAUUUGAUAGGAAGGCAUUUUCACAUUAAAACUGACCCCCAGAGUUUGCGAUUCCUCUCGGACAGGCAGGCCAUUACUUCUUAUCAGUAGAAAUAAGUGGUCAAAAUGUUUGGCUAUGACUACACCAUCACUUACAGACAAGGAGGACAAAACAUUGUAGCUGAUGCACUUUCACGACGAGAUCAUUCACUUGAGGGUCAGAUGUUCCAGUGUAUUAUAAGUAUUUCAUGGUUUGAAAUUUGGGGCCAAAUCCUGGAUGCUUGUUUCACUGACACUUGGUUGCAACAGAUCUGUUUGGACUUGCAACAUUCUCCUCACAUUCAUCCUAAAUAUUCAUGGGAUGGGAAAAUAUUAUGAAGGAAAUGCAAAGCAGUGGUUAGGGAAAACCUGGAACUGAGGAAGAAGAUAUUUGAUACGUUCCAUAGUGAAGCCAGUUAUAGUGGAAAAGGACGCCUACAACCACCAGCUCUAAGAUUUUAGACUUAAGAUUUGGCAAAACCUGACUCUAGCCAAUAACCGCUUUUGUGGGACUAUCUUCUGCUAGAUCAUCACUUCCCAAUGGCUAAUACCACGCCAUUUUGUCCCUUGGACUCGCCAACUUCUGACGCAGAAAGCCAAUGAAUCGACUGUGCAACCUUUUCAAAAUGUACAAAGCGGCCAUUCCUUGCACAAGUUGAAAAGAUCACUUAUUAAGGGACUUGGACGGAAGCGUCAGCCCUGUAAUGCGGAGAAGUGAUGAAUACUCGUUGAGAAGGUUAAACGCGAAUUCUAAGCCGCACAAACCCUUUUUGGGGAAUUUCGAUAACCUUCGGCUAGAUAAAAUUUAGUGGAUCAUGCUGUUUGGGGAAAAUAAAUAAAAAUAAUGAAGAUGAAAAAUUUAUUGAAAGAUAGGGAAAUAACAAAACCUUUUUAGGAGAGAGAGUGUUUACAGAAAAGAUGAGUCCAAUUUGUGUCACUCAAUCCCCUAUUUAUAGUACUAAUAAACCUAGUCUAUUCCUAAUUAAAUUCUAAAAGAUAAAUACAAAUAAAUAAAGAUAAAUAAAGAUAAAUUCUAAAAUUAUAUAUAAAUAAUAAUCCUUAAUAAUUACCCUAAUAUAAUUGGAAUUAAAAUAGAGUCUUGUGCUAUAAAAUCUCUUCUUUUGCAUUUUUGCCUCAAAAGUCGUCCAUACUUUUCAUUUUCGGCACCAUUUCUCUCCUACUUCGCAUGCUGGCCCAAUUCAUCUUUAAAUUCACGCUUUUGCCCCCAAAUUUCCUUUUGCCUUUAAUUUAGUCCCUUCAAGAUAAAGAAUCAUAAAUAGCCCAAAUUAGUAGGAUCAUACUCCAAAUAAAUAUAUAAUUAAGUCAUAAAAAUAUGUCAUUCUAGAGUAUUAUCAAAUUCCCCUUACUUGGCCCAUGCUUGCCUUCAAGUAUGGUUAGAUUUUACCAUAAAAGAAGUACCACUCCAAAGUUUUAUAAAAAUUAGUCAAAAUGUAUAUGAAAAAUAAAGAGAACCCUUAGCUUGCUUGAAGUAAAAUUGAAAAAUUAUUUCAAUUAACACACACAAAAAUUUAUAUCGACUUGGAUUAUUUCAUGAAAAUUAGGUAAUUUACCAAACUUACCAAGACACCCUAUUUGUUUCUACCUUUAGUCCCCACAUUUUAUUAAUACAUCUUUUUUUU